UUCUUUGCGGUGCUGGUGGGCCUGGUGAGGAUCAGCCACAGCUUUGGCUCCGGCAUCGCCCUGAGUCCGUCCAACCGGUCGUCCGCGGCCGACGGUGACUACAUCGAAGAUGUUGUCGAUUGGUUACGGGCUGCGCGGAAACCGGGUGUCCCGGCGGCCGGCGCUUGCGUAUCCCCUUGGCGGGGCCAUGGUCUCCGCUCGGACGUAGUAGGACGCCCUGUUCGGGGAUCAUAGAUCCUGCGACAACAACCUCUACGACAAUGAUGACGGCAUCACCACCGCCGGAUAACGAUCACUUGCCAGUGCGAGCGGUGUGACAGUGGCGAGGGCGGAUGCUCCUGGUGCAGCAGACAACAGGUUGCUCUGUGGGCCGACAAGGGGUUAGGUUGCAGCGUCGAGACGGAGGGGAGGCGGUGCAGCAGACAGCAGGAUGGUGUCGAAGGCGGCCACACUGCGCAGGAGCGGCUGGAGCCGGAGUAGUCCGUUGUUAGCCAGGAUCGGCUGUUGCUGAUGAUGCUGCGGGCAUGUGGAUGAGUACGUUGAUCUCAACGUGAAACGUCCAUCAGCAAGGCACGGCCUGGCGUUGCGCAUUGCACUGCUAUGUGAUGCUGUUGAACAUGAAGUGCACUCAAACCGCGAUGCAUGCCAUCGGUGUUGUAUCCCCUUGCAUGGUGCGACGAGGUUUCGCAUACGUUCAGGUUCGUGUGAUCAUCUCUCUCUCUCUCUCAUAUUUUUUGUGCAGCUCAACAACGAGGGAGAUUUGCAAGUGGUCAAAAUUCUGGUGCUAUCAUUGCUAUGUAAUAAGACAAGGUUUCUCUUGAUCCUCUUUCUUCUUGAUAAUCCAUAUAGGGAUUGCUUCUGUCGAUUAUUUUGAAGCCUUUUCUUGUGACUAAAGGUUCAGAGAUGGCCACUAACUGAUUGGUGUUAUUAAGCUUCAGGUUCAUUUUUGUGCUCUUAAGGUAUAGUAUCCCUUCCAUCAUUGCUGCAAACAUUUACUAUCUGUCCUUAGUGCGGGAAUUUGCAACCAUUAAACCCACGGUGGUUCCAGUGUGGGAUAUAUUCUUCAUGGUCCCGUGUCAUUUGCUGCAUCUGCUGUUAAUUUGAUGAUAUGGUUUUUGGGAUGACCAUGAUUUACUCCCUUCUAAUAUUUGUUCUAUGCAAGCAUCAAGACUAAAUAAUAUGGGUUUACCCCCUUAUCAUAUUUGUUGUAUGUAGGCAUCAAUACUAGACAUAUGGUUUUAACCCCUUCUCAUAUUUAAUUUUUUGAACGAUCCCUUCUCAUAUUUAUUGUAUGGAUGCAUCAAGCUAUGAUGAAUUUGGAUAACAUACUAUUAACUUACAUAAUAAGACCCUUACGGUGUGAAAAGCCGGAAGCAAUUGCAAGGCAUUAACAAUCUGUUUUUCUUACUGAAGCUGAACAACUGCCCCAUAUACAAGCUCUAUCAUGUUAACUACUGAUGUGAGCUUCCUCAGCUAUCAUUUCAUUACGAACACAAAACCAAUGGGCAGUCAAACAAGGAUGCCUUGAAUUACCAAGGAAUCAGAAAUUUAUCAUGCAAUAUCAAUAUGUAUUCUCUUUAUGUACAAUUAAUGUACUGACUCUUUUCAUUCAAUAAAAAUUUUCUUUAUGAAAGAUUAUAGCAUUUGUACCAAUAUAAUUUUUUACAUACACCAUAAUAUAAAAUUUGAAGUGAACACAUAAAAAGUGAAUAAAAUAAUAAAAUAUUUGGUAUAUGAAGUUUAAUAUUAUUGUACAUAGAGUUUCUCACAUAAAGUAUCAAUAGGCGCGGCGUGCCACCGCACAGGCAUGAAAAUUCAACAUGGCUCGCUAGCAAGUAAGUACCCAACAUAAUGAAUUUGCAAGACAAACAAUGAUCUUGGCGAUAAUAUGCAAUGAUUUCUUCGACGUGGCACUUCUUCGCAUGUACCCCAACGUCCUCAGAGAGAUGAUCCCAUCAUUACAUACAAAGGAGCUAAGAUACCCGUUAGACAGGUAGAGGAAUUUGCAAAAGCUCUUGACUACUUCAUUACAAACUAUCUUACAGGGGGCUGCACUAGGAUGAUUUAACUCAACUAGGUCAUCCGCAAUCAUUUACUUUCAUGCAGUUGUAUCAUUGUAUAUGGUAUGUUCCAUAGAACGGUCUCUAUAAUGUGCCAAUAAGUAGACCUUAUUAUUAGCGUGUACACUUUCGUUCAUCAGUAUUUAUCAUACAUGGCUGCAAUAAAUGUACUCAUUUUCCACCUUUUAGAACUCUUUCUGGGUUUUAGUUAUGCAAUUUUGUCAUUAAAAAUAUAACAAUGGCCUUUACGAUCCGUUAAAUAUAAUGCAUUAUCAGGCGCGGCGUGCCGCCGCGCGGGCUAUACUAGUUUGAUAUAGCUAGGCAACUAUUUGGCGAAGGCGUGAAGCCAGUAGCUAGCUACAGCUACAACAUGUUGGACUAAUCUGCGUCGUUUUGGACAAAGUAGUACUCUACGUACUUGUAGUACAUAUACAGACAGAAGGGCAUAUUUGUACGGAUGCGAAUUAUAUACGGACUGCCGUUUGGUUUUAGGACUAGCAUUGUCACAUUUUGUCUAUAUUUUUAUCAAGUUUGCUUAAAAUUAGUUCAUUAAAAUAAAAGCCACAUGUUGACAAGUCUAAAAGAAUCUUGCCACACCUUGUUAUGUGGAAUCCAAGUAUGACUUCCUUAAAAUGUGGCUUAAAUCAAACACUUAUUUAAAUUAGUUAAACUUGUCUAAUCUUAAUUGUGACAAUUUUUGACUAAGUUAGUCAGAAAUCAAACAGCCCAGAGUUAUGGGUAUCCAGGCGUCCACGCCGUCCGUUGCCGAAAGCUGGCGGUCCAUGAGGCCCAUGCGUCCGUGUGCUCGGUCCACGCGUCCAUGACCAGCACCGGUGGCCACCGAUGGAGGCAUCUUUGUGGCAACGUCUAGAAGGAACCCAUGCCAACGCGUGGACGUUCUUCUACUCGAGCCGCUCACCACGUGGGCCCCGGCCCCCACAUGCAAACAGUACCUGAAAAAAUGCAUGUAAGUUUUUUAAGAACGUCGCCCAUGCAGGUUUGGUUAGAUCCUUCAUGUAACUUUUCUUGCGUGGAAUUUUCCUUCUUUUGUAGUACUAGUAUGUUGUAUGGCAAAAUACUCCCCUUAUUAUUUUAGAGAGAGAAGCCUAUUUUCUAGCUGAGCUCGACAAAGCUCGCUUAGUUAGAUGAAUAUUGAUCUAUAUUCUUUAUGAUUUUGCUAAGAAGUUCGGGCGUAUUUGAACUAUACUGGUCUAAUUUGUUGUAUGAGUGGAUAAUGAUUUUCUGUACGACUUAGCAACUCUAUCGAGCCUAGCUGAAGCCUACACAAGUAUAUCAAUGUGAUUUGUGAAAAAAAAGGCGAAAGAAUAGUUCGUUUUGUGCCCGCUGCGCAGCUCAGUUGGCUAGGCGCGGGAGUUAGCAGCCAACCCAUCAGGGUUCAAGUCUGGGCUAGAGUGUUUGGUGUUUAUGGAGUUUUCUUCUAUAAAAAAAUGUCAACAGACUAUCUAGCCCGAGUUGGUCUCGUUUUUUAUUUUGAUUUGUCAAAAAAAAAAUUAGACACAGAGCUUGCAACAAGUGCAAGGAUAGUACCAGUGAUUUGUGAAAUUGCGCUUGGUUCCAAACCAAACAGGCACAUGAGUCCACUAGGUUUUAAAUGUGAGAGGACUAGUAGUAAAACAGGCACACGCCAUGAGGUUAGGCUACAAUUAUUGCAAAAUGGAGGGUCUGCGUCCUCCGGGCAAGCGGCCGCUAGGUGUUUAGGGUUUCCUGCCUCCUGCAUGCACCGCUAUCAAUCUACCUCGUCUCCUGUGGCCUUAGAGGCAUGAAAGAGCGAUGGAUCCUGGCUCUUCUCAUAGCACACAUCACGAGUGUCAUGAAACAACUAAUGUAAAUGGAUAAGUGAGGGCCCGCUAUGGCAGCAUAGAUGAACAACUCUAUAUUUCACAUCAAACACAUGCAUAAGUCGUACGUCCUGGACAACAGAUGCUUGAAUUCCUGUUCUAGAUGCAUCCCAAUCCUAGACCACCAGUAUGAACUUUCACCAUUGACGCAAUUCAAAUUUCUCUUACAAUUGUGUGCAUGGGUGUGUCUUAUCCCAAAAUGAAGUCACGUAAAGAUGGAAAUCAUGGUGAGACAAAUACUACCUCAUACAAUAGACUUUAUAGUCAAGUCUACUAUAGGUUUAUUUUAUAGCACUUACAUGUUGUCAUCAUAUAUCAAUUAUGCAGUGUAAUGGUGGGUGGACACUAAUAAUAAAUUUGCCGAAUUUAUGAAGAAACAAGCGACGGUGCAGCUGUAAUAUUGCUUGGUCAUGAAGUGGUAGGAAUUUUCAGAUUAGCAACAUUUGCACGUCUAUGCCUUUCCAUUUUAAUAAUACCACAUACGUAAUCAACCGCCUUGACUUAGUGACGGAGGAAAUUUUAUUGGUAUAUAUCUACAUUCAUUUAUACGUUCAAAUCUUUUGUUUUUUGAAACGGAAAUCUUAUUUUGUAGGUGAAGUAGUUAAUCAAGUAAUUAUUAUGAGGAAACAAGAGUUAUCGUAUAAUUGAUACUCCCUAUGUUAAAAAAACAACGUGUAUGGAUCUUUGUUGAAGUCAAAAUUAAUAAAGUUUGACCAAAUUUAUAGAGAAAAACAUGAAUAUCAAUAAUAUCAAGUAAAUACAAUAUAAAAUUAUACUACUUGAAUGUUAAUUUUUGCUGCUAGUGGUUGCAUCAUCAAAUUGGUCCUAUACAUUCAGUCGGUCUUCACUUGGGGCGUGAUCAGCAACACGUCAUCUCCUACUGUUUUACCUAUCUUUCUAUUCAACAAGUAAUCGAGCUGGGGUUGAUUCGGUCAUGGUCGAUGCUACACAAGCAAAGACACAUAAAACAAGUAAUCGAGUUGGGGUUGAUUCGGUCAUAGCCGAGAAGAUUUGUUUAGUUUUUUUCUUCAAUGAGAUGAAAAUGUUUGCUGUUUUGUUAGUUAGGCAGAAAAUAAUUGGUCGAUAAAUUGGAGUACAAAAGGGUGAAAGCUAGGGUCCCAAUACACACUAGGCUAGGCAGUAAUCAGCCCACUAACUAAUCAUCAGCUAAGACACGAUGAGUUGAAAGCAUGACGGGCGAGACAUCGACGGGUUAUUAAAUAAGUAAGUACUCCCUGCGUACUAUAAUAUAAGUGCUUUCUUACACCACGCUAGUGUAAAACGCUCUCAUAUCAUGGGUCGAAGGGAGUAGUUUUUUUAUAUCUUAUCAAUCCAUUGGUUACACGUGUAACAAAAUGAACUGACAUUGCUACAAAAAACAAGAUGCUUGCGGUCCUGUGAUCGCUCAAACCAAAUGACCUGGUGUUAUGAUUUGCUUCUAUAGAAGGUGCAUUAAACAUGAGAUGAAACCAACCAAGAGCUUGUCUUGGUGGCAUAUUUCAAAUAGAAGGUGCAUUAAGGAUGUGUCAUUUUCCAUGCAUGAUGAUAUGAGUUGGCAUUGGGUAUAUAGAGGAUUGGUCUUAUUAAAAACAAUUAGUUACUACCUCUGUCCCUUAAUAUAAGAUGUCUUUGCAAAUAGAAGUAUUUUUCGGAUCAUCCACUAGUACUUUUAGGUAGUGAAUAAUUAGGAAAGCAGCCCAUAUGAGAUCACAUCUAAACCUCAUCCAGACAUGCUAGUAUAUUCGUUUGAUAAGGAGACUGGAUUUUUUUGAAGUACCUUAGUAUCGUUGCGACAUUGUUUAAUUUGCUAUCGCUAGGCAAUCAUUUGGCAAAGGCGUCAAGUCACAAGCUAGCUACAACAUCUUGGACUGAAGAAAUGAACUCCUCCACUGCGUCACUGCCCCACUCCACUACACUAUUAUCAGAAAAAGAAAAGCAAACACAAUUAUUGAUGUGCAUUCUACAAGCCCAAACUCAUCUAGGACAUGGUCACGUGAAUGCCGAACGCAACUGUAGCUGGCGCAGCGACGCGAGCCAUACCAUCUCCUGGUUAGACAGACAAGGAGCCAAGUGAUCACCAGCGGCAACAUGAUCCACCUGUUCUGGUUACAAUAAGAAAACAAUCAAAUGUUAACUACAAAUGCAAUAAAUAAGUCUGGCUAGACAGCUAACUGGUAAACUCGACUGCCUACAACGAGAAAAUUGGGUCGAGUGAUAUAAAGGGACCGUACCUUAAUAACUCAUCCAUGUAUGCGCUACAGAGUCGCGCCGGCGGCCAUACCGACUGCUGUUGGUGCCCCUCUCGGACACGCUCCUCCGCAACAUGGUCUCAGCCCCAGCCUCUGUACAUACAUGCCUCCGGUCGCAUUGGAUGAGCAUGAACUGGGUAAGGACGCGCUUCAUGCUUGGCCAUAGACAUGCUUAAGGACUCGUGUAGGGAACACGAGUUUCAACACCAUAAAAAUAUCCUCUCAAUGGACCGAGUCACGGAUAUGUUUGAUGAUUUUGUCUUUCGUUAAAGAGGGAUCCUGUAAUACCUUCAAUGCUCAUUCAGCCAGGCUUUCUCCUCCUCCAACGCCCUCAGCAACCAUGUCGGUUGUUAGCUCUAGCAGAACCACACCAAAACUAUAGAUAUCGGCCCUCUAGAGCUUGCCCCUCCAUUGUACUAAUAGUAUUUUGCAAAAUUUGCAUUCAGUUAGAUCUCAACAGAAACGUUUGAGAUGCCUUGCUGGAUUUGAGAUUCUCAUCAGGGGCCAUGUACCCGUGUGUCCCAAAAAUGGCUGACCUGUGGUGGGACUGGCGUGGGUUGACAACCAUUCGGGCAAGCCUAAAGUCGGCGAUCUUGGCAUGGAACUCUGGGUCAAACAAAAUGUUGCCUGACUUGAUGUCCCGAUGGAAAAUAGCCUGUCUGCACUCUUUGUGGAUGUAGUUGAGGCCUCUGGAUGCAUCAAUAGCAAUGGUCAGCUUUGUCAGCCAGUCCAAUGGUGCAGGGGCGCCCUUGCGGUCAUGAUGGUGCAGCCAGUCGUCGAGGCUGCCCUUCUUCAUGUGUUCGUAAACAAGCAGCUUGGCAUCUUAGCUGGAGAUGCUGCAAAGCAACUUUAUCAUGUUCUUGUGAUUGAUGCUCCCCAAUGUCUUCACCUCCGAGUCAGACUGCUUGUGGUGUAGAUUUCUCAUGUUGCAUACCUUCUUAACAACCAUUAUUCUGCUGCUGCGAUCCUCAAUGAGACCGUGAAGGCUAGGGUGGUGGACACGGUGCACCUUCCCAGACCCUCCACUGCUGAUAAUGUUCUCCUCAAAUAUGUUGUUGAGCACGCCGGAUUCCGUGAAGUCCAAAGGUGUGAAUGGUGUCAUUUUCUAAUCAGUCACAACUUCUUUCAGCACUUGUGUGUUCUUCUGAUGCUGGAAGAGCAACCGUAUGAUGAUGCUCAUGCAAGUGAUGACAGUGACACCGAGCACUAACAAGAUUAUCAUAUGCUUCUAGAGGUGGGUGCCUCCAUGGCAUUUUGGGAGAUUUAUCCUCGAUCCCCACUUAGCACAAAGCCCACGGUUUCGAAGGAAGCCACAAUUGUACUUUGUAGAGAGAGGGGCAUCUUCCCAUUGAGUUGGUCAUAAAUGACAAACUGAGGGAUGCAAUUGAAUGGUUGCCAAAGUCAGGCGGAAUAUUGCAUGUUAUCUCGUUGUUGGACAAAUCAAGGAUUACCAGUGAUGAAAUAAUCUCACUGCUCUAUGCCGGUAUUGCACCUGAUAUACGAUUGUUGCUGAGGUCAAGUGAUUUGAGAUUCUGCAACAAUUCAAUUGAUGUUGGUAUGGAUCCAGAUAUCUUGUUCGCACUUAGUGACAAUUCAGAAAGCAUGUGGAGAUUGCUUCUGUUGACAGGUAGCUCUCCCGAGAGUUGGUUAUUCUACACCAUCAACACCAAUAGCCCAGUCUGAUAUGUCGGGAUCGAGUCGGACAAGUGGUUGUUCUGCAUCUCACUUCGAGAGAUAUUCGAAGAUAUAUCUUUUGGCACAGUGCUAGCGAAGUUUUGUCAGAUAUUAGCAAUGUAUGUACCAAUGGCAACCACCAUAUAUUCACCAGAAACUUCCCAGAGAAGUCGUUGUUGUCAAGCAUAAUGUUAUCCAGCAAUAGGCAGUUGCCAAUGCUUCAGGAGCUCACUGGAGAAGAUGUUGUUAGAAACUACAAUGUUGAAUAGUUUCUCAUGGGCGCAUAACCUGCUCCGGUAGUGAGCUAGAAAAGUUGUUGCGGUCCUCAAAAUUUCUGAGCGACGAGUGCUUCCCAAGUUGUUGUGGUACCUCACUCGAGAUCAUAUUGUCAAACAACUGGAUGUAUUGGAGUUUGGGAAUGAGGCCAAUGCUUCCGAGGAUGGGGCCUAGGAACUCGUUGUUGUAUAGGAUGAUAAUGGUUAGUCUAUUGAGAGUCCCAAAGUCUUAUGGUAUGCAACCAGUGAGUUUGUUUGCUCACAAGUCUAUUUUAAUCAAAUUCACCACAAUGAUGCUGCACGACAACUUCCUGUUGAGUCCACUAUCAUAAAAGUAUAAGAUCUCGAGCUUUUGGUGCUGCCAGAUCCAAACAAGGAUCGAACCACUGACUUGCUGCGCAACAUGUACAAAAUGGUUAGUUCCUUUAGGCUUGAGAAUGCCUCUGGAAUCUCGCCGGUUAAGCCAUUCGUGUCAAGAAGUAGGUUCUGAAGUGCCUAAUGCUUGGCCAUCGCCGUCGGCAAAACACCACAAAAGUUGUUGUUAGUCAGGUAGAGAUGCUUCAUAGAUGGUGAUAGCCGGCUGAUAUCUUGAGUAAGCACUCAAUGGAAGCCGUUGUAGUAGAUAUCAUGGUACCGUAGCUAGGAGUAGGCGUAGAACGUAAUGCCAGGGAAUCUCCCAGUGAGCCUGCUGUAUGAAACGUCGAGGUGGAUCAGGUACUUGAGGUUGCACAUAGAUGGAGGGAUGUUCCUGAUAAAAUUCUAAUGCUUGAAGGAAAGCCCCGUAACUAGGCCUCCACCUACUGCCACGCAGCUGACACCAGCCCAGUCAGCUGUGUGGAAAGCGGUGGAGGCCUAUUUAUGGGGCUUUCAUUCAAGCCUUUGAAUCUUACCGGCAACAUCCCUCCAUCUAUGUGCAACCUCAAGUACCCGAUCCACCUUGACUUUUCAUACAACAAGUUCACUGGGAGAUUCCCCGGCAUCACGCUCUACACCCGGUCCUGGCUUCGAUACCUUGAUCGAUCUCUCCUACAAUGGCUUCCAUGGAUUCCCUCCUCAAGAAAUCAGCCGGUUAUCACCAUCUAUGAAGCACCUCAACCUAACUAACAACAACUUUAUUGCAGUUCUGCCAAUGCUGAUGGCCGAGCUUUCGGCACUCCAGAACCUAAUUCUCAACACGAAUGACCUUCACCGACGAGAUUCUAGAGGCAUUCUCAAGCCUAAAGGAACUAACCAUGUUGGACCCAUGGGGCAACAAGCUUAGUGGUUCAAUCCAUGUCUGGAUCUGGCAGCACCAAAAGCUCGAGAUCUUGUACUUGUAUGACAAUGGACUCACCGAGGAGCUGUCGUGCAACAUCACUACGGUGAAUUUGAUUAAGAUAGACUUGUCGGCAAACAAACUCACUGGCUGCAUACCAGAAGACUUUGGGACUCUCAAGAAACUAACCAUUAUCAUCCUAUACAACAAUGAGUUCAUAGGCCCCAUCCCUAGAAGCACUGACCUCAUUCCCAACCUCCAAUACAUCUAGUUUUUCGACAAUAUGCUCUCGGGGUGAGGUGCUACAAGAACUUGGGAAGGACUCGCCGCUUGGAAAUAUUGAGGUCUACAACAAAAACUUGUGUAGCUCACUACUGGAGGAGUUUUGCGCUCAUGGGAAACUAUUCGACAUAGUAGAUUCUAACAACGGUUUCUCCGGCAAGCAUUGGCAACUACCUCUCACUGGAUAAUAUUAUGCUCGGUAACAACUUCUCAGGGAAGUUUCCGAUGAAUAUAUGGUGGUUGCUAUUGGUGCAUACAGUGCUAAUAUCGCACAACUUCACUAGCACUAUGACAAAACAUAUCUUCGAAUAUCUCUCGAAUUGAGAUGCAAAACAACCACUUCUCCGACUCGAUCCCGACGUUUGGAACUAGGUUAUUGGUGUUGAUGGUGCAUAAUAGCUAACUCUCAGGAGAGCUAUCUGUCAACAUGAGCAAUCUCCACAAGCUUUCUGAAUUUUCACUAAGUGGGAACAAGAUACCUGGAUCCAUACCAACAUCAAUUAAAUUGUUGCAAAAUCUCAAAUCACUUGACCUUAGCAACAAUCAUAUAUCAGGUGCAAUACCGUCAUGGAGCAUUGAGACAAUUUCAUCACUGGUAGUCCUUGAUUUGUCCAACAACGAGCUAACAGGCAAAAUUCUGCCUGACUUUGGCAACCAUUCAAUCGUGUCCCUCAAUUUGUCAUUUAACCAGCUCAAUGGGGACGUGUCCCUCUCUCUGCAAAGUGCAAAGUACAACCACAACUUCCAUGAAAAUCGUGGGCUUUGUCACAAGCGGGACUCGAGGAUAAAUCCGCCAAAAUGCCACAGAGGCACCCACCUCCAGAAGUGUGUGAUAAUCUUGUUAGUGCUUAAUGUCACGGUCAUCAUCACUUCUAUGAGCAUCAUCAUAUGGCUGCACUUCCGGCGCCGGAAGAACACACAAGUGGUGAAAGAAGUCGUGACUGAUUGGAAAAGGACACCAUUCACACCUUUGGACUUCAUGAAAUCCGACGUGGUCAACAACAUAUCUGAGGAUAAUUUUAUCAUCAACGACGGUCUGGAAAGGUGUACCGUGUCCACCUCCUAGCCUUGAUGGUGGCACUAAGGACCGCAACAGCAAAAUAGUGGUUGUCAAGAAGAUAUGCAACACGGGAAAUCCGGACCACAAACAACUCAGCUCGAAGGUGAAGACAUUGGGCUCAAUCACAAGAACAUCACUAAGCUGCUCUGCAAAAUCUCCAGCUAAGAUGCCAAGCUGCUUGUUUAUAAGCACUUGGAGAAGGGCAGCCUUGACGACUGGUUGCACCACCGUUACCGCGAGGGCGCCCCUACACCAUUGUACUAGCUGAGGAGGCUGACCAUCGCUAUUGAUGGCCAAGCCUCAACUACAUCCACCAAGAGUGGGGAGAUGCUAUUAUCCAUCGGGACAUCAAGUCAGGCAACAUUUUGCUUGACCCAGAGUUCCAUGCUAAGAUCGCCGACUUUGGCCUUACUCGAAUGAUUAUCAACCCAGGCCAGUCCCACAACAUGUCAACCAUUUGUGUUACACACGGGUACAUGACCCCCUGAUGGGUCUCAAAUCCAUCAAGGAAUCUCAAACAUUUUCAUCAAAUGCUAACUAAAUACGAAUUUUGCAGAAUACUUUCAGUACAAUGGAAGGGCGAGCGAGAAGACUAACAUCUACAGUUUUGGUGUCGUUCUGCUAGAGCUGACAAUCGGCGUGGUUGCCAAGGGCACUGGAGGUGGAGAAAGCUUGGUUGAAUGGGCAUGGAAGGUAUUACGGGAUGCUAUUUUUUACGGGAUGCUAUUUAACCAAAGAAAAAAUGGACAAGCAUAUCCGUGACUUGGCUCACUUGGAGGAUAUCUUUGUGGUGCUAAAACUCGGUGUAUCCUACACAGUCCUCAGGCGCAUCUGCAUCUACACGAAGCACGUCCUUACCCGGCUCAUGCUCAACCAGUGUGACUGGAGGCACAUACGUACAGAGGCUGGGGCUAAGCCCAUGUUGUGGAGCAGCUUUUGUCAUCCUUAUUUACAUAGCUCUCGUCACAAUACUGUAUUAAAAAAUAUAUAGUUUAACUUCUCCGAUGCCAAGAAAAAAUUGUAACACUGAUGGGCAAGGAAGAAGACAUGUAUAUGAAUGUCAUAAUACAUAAAGUACAGUGCAGAUCAUAGGUAGGUAAUAUUUACCGUGGUUUCCAGGAAUCAUAAAACAUUGUGGUCAGCUACACUGCCUGAGCUCAGAAACUCCAAGAGGAAGUUCAGGUUUUUCCAAUGUUACGUGUUCAGGCGUAUACCAAGCAGGAGGCUGGAGAGCAUACUCAAAAGGGCAGAAAAAAAUCAAAAUCCAAUAUAACAAGCUGGCAAAGAUAAUUAAUAUGUGGCAUCAUCCAUGUAUGGAAUGCAACUCGUGAUAAACUAGCAUAUGACAAGCAAAACAUUUAUAGUCAUUAAUCAGCAAACAUGAACUGAAAACUUCAAGUGAUGUAAAUGAUCAAAGUAUGCACACCAUGUUCAACUCUUCAGUACCCUAUUUUCUUAUCUGCUAGACAAACAUGUGAAAAAGACAAAUAAAGUGGUCAUCAUCAUGUCCAACUCUUCAGUACCCUAAUAAGUAAUAAUGAGCUCAGGAUAUCUUACCCAGUCACACCAUGUUAUUCACUAAAGCAUAUUCAUGUGACAUAUAGGUAAUAAACUCUUCAGUACCAUGGCUCGCCAACAACCAUUGGCAUUUUGUUAAGGGGCUAUGGACGUUGAAUACCAUAUUAUAGUUCUACGUAGAUGAAACCAUGACGAACAUAUUGCAUUUCCUUUUCAUCACCAUAAGUUCCCUCUGAAGAUGACAGAAUGCAAACUUAUCUGUUGACUUGUUUAUAUAAUACAACAACAACGACGACAAAGCCGUUAGUCCCAAACAAGUUGGGGCAGGCUUGUUGACUUGUUUAUAAUACAUCAAAAAGAAAUUCUACCAGAUGGAUGUGUGCAGACAGUAGGCAUACCCAGUUGACCGCUCCACGACAUAAUUGGCCAUGUAAAGACCAAUGAAUGUAUCCCACAAAGAGUAGACAGGUGAAAUGAUGUUGGAGCGUUCGGAUCCAUUGGAAGCUAACUGGAGCAAACAUACAAGAUAACAAUAAAGCAGUAAAUAAACCAAAGAGAUAUCCAAGCAUGAACAGAAGGUGAAGUAUACUAACUUCUCCAUAAAUGGCCCAUUUCGAUAGAAGUGGAUAAUCACUGGCAAAGCCAACCGGAGCAAACCAGGGCGAGCAAAUAUGAUCUUUAAACUUAUGCAUACGCCAUAGCUUUGAAAUCAGUGUAUUGUACUCAUUUUGCUUUAUCCACAGUGAAAAUGCAGUUCUAUGAUCAAUAGAUUUGUCCCUUGAAAGGGUCCUGUUACCACAGUGGUUGUAGAACACGCAGCAAGCUAUACUUACCACCUGUGAUGUGACAGAAAAUGCAAAUCUUAGAAAAAUCACAAGUAUCUAAGAGAACAUGAACGGAACACCUGAAUCAUUGUAUGCCAAAAAACUUACUGCGCAAUUUUUGAUUAUAGUAAGCAUCUCUGGCUUUUUCUCUGCCAUGCGAGAAACAAGAUCCAAAUACCAGAGUCCAAGAAAUGUGACGUGGAAGAUGAUUAGAGAGGAAAUAUAAACAGCGAGGAAGAGGGAAAGAUUCAUCCUCAAAUCCAACCCCAUUGACUGAAAACUAGGGAGAUGCCAUAAUGCUGCCAAGAAUAUCCAAGCAACGUACCUGUAUUCAGAAACAACAUCAGGGAACUUAUACAUCUUGUUUUGCUUCCAAUUAUCUUUUCAAAGACUCCCGAGAUUGCUUACCAGCGACUAAAGUGUGAAUAGUGUGGCUUGAUAGUCUUCCUAAUCAUGAAAUGUCUCGAAUGCUCAUGUGGGUAUGGGUAUCCAUGAGUCAGAAUGGUCCUAACCCUCUCCAUUAGAAGGGAUUCAACCAGACGACCAGAGGGCUGCUUAUGGAGCUUUUCUCUGACCACAAAAAUACUCUCACCAAGUCAGUGAUAGUUCAUACUCCUAGUCAAAGCAAGCAGAGUGGGCCCUCUCUCACUGGUGAAAAUUCCAGAACCGUGGCCAGAUCUGCAUAAAGAAACAAUUGUCACAAUCUGACUAAAUGGCGAUAAACCUGCAGAACAGCAAUAUCAAGACUAACUUCUGAAAGAAGUCCCAAGCUACAAAGUGGACAUACGGGGAUAUCCUACAAAUUUAUCUCAGUAGCUCCAAAGUAAAUCAUGUAAAUACUUAAGUCGCUUACGUAAAACGAAUACGAGGAGAUAGAGACAAAGGAACCAAAAAAAAAAGUAUGCGUAGACAAACUGCAGGAGCCCAUUAAGCACAUGGAUUCCAUGGGAACGGCAGGCAGGCAAUCAUAACCAGGGGCAAAACACAACUACUCUUAGUCAAGGUAGCUCUACCAGGACGAAACUUCUCCCAGAAACACAUAACUGAAAACAUCCACUGCCCGGUAGUGCAGUAAAUGUUCAUAGCCAGGCCGGUAAAUCUAGGAAACUACAGCGAACAAAGGACAAAUUUGGCUGCCCAAAUUGAUAUGUAAAGGAAGUCAUAAGUUUUUCAUAUAGGGUUUUUUUUUAUCUGAGAAUUAGGAGGGUUUCGGCAGAUGGCUCGGCGCAGAGGAAGAAAUAUUUUGCACACACGUACUGGGUGUUCUCUUGGGUCUCCGCCACUGAUUCCAGAUGCAUCUCAUUCAUGUAUAUAAAUCUGAGUCUAUUUAGAGAUUCCAAUAUGGACUACAUACGAAGCAAAAUGUACUCCCUCCGUCUCAUAAUAUAAGAGCGUUUUUAACACUACCUUAGUGUCAAAAACGCUCUUAUAUUAUGGGACGGAGGGAGUAGUUCAUAUUGAAAUAUCUAAAAAGACUUAUAUUUAGGUACAGAGGGAGUAGAAGUUAUGCAGAGUAUCCUCUGUAUAGUGCCACAGGCACACAGUAAACAGGUAGUACCCUGACCAUGUUGGCAUGACAUCCUACAAGUUAUCUCAGCAGCCCGACACUAAAGCAUGUAGUACUCCCUCCGUAAACUACUAUAAGAGCGUUUAGAUCACUACUUAUAUUAGUUUACAGAGGGAGUAAAUACUAACUGUCAGGACCCCGACUCAAUGCCACAUCGACCUAGCAUGUAACACCUCAUAUCACUUUGCGGCCUCACGCACGGUAUUCCCACGGGUGUCGCCUUACUUUUGCCCGGGACCGUUUGCGCCUUUUGGCACACGUAUAUGACAGUGUCGCUAGCAUCCAUAUGAUAAGGAGCCCGGGCUGACAUGGCUAGUCGUAAACCCAAAGUGGCACAGACUUACAGGGACAAGCAUCCAUGACCCAGCAUCGAACGUGUCGGUCAUCAGCGAGUGAAUCCAGGCUGUAGCACUGGGCUAGCAGGACUCCGGUGAACCGGGCUGUAGCGGGCUAACAGGACUCCGGUAUUCAUCGCGUGACAUUUCCCCGAAGGGACGGACACAGGAACGAAGAAGGACACAUGCCGGCCAGCCUAAGUGUUCCGGAGCAGUAGCAAGCUACCAAGGCUCAAUGGAAACACUAGGAGACAUUUCCCGGUAAGAGAGGCUACUAAAGAUAAACAACUAGAUGGUCAGAUCCCACACAUACCAAGCAUUUCAAUAACAUACACACAAUAUGCUCGAUAUGUGCAAAUACAACAUGGCAUCACAACAUGACUCUACGACUCAAGUAUUUAAUCAAUAGGCUCCGAGGAGCGAGAUAUUACAACAUGGGUCUCAUGACCCAACACUCAGAGCAUACAAGUCAAAGCACAAGCGGAAGCUAUCAUGUCUGGAUACAGACAUCUAUAAAUGAAAAAGGCUGAGAAGUCUGACUAUCUACCAGAUCCUGCCGAGGGCACAAGAUCGUAGCUGAGGUAACAAGCUAAACGUCGAAGUCCACGCGGAACUACUAGUGAGACCGAAGUCUCUCUGCAAAAACAUAAAAUAGGCAAACGUGAGUACAAAUGUACCCAGCAAGACUUACAUCAGAACUAACUACAUAUGCAUCAUUAUCAACAAAGGGGAUGGUGGGGUUUAACUGCAGCGAGCCAGCUUUGACUCGGUGGCUAUCCUAAACUACGACUGCAAUGUAACUCUUUUGAGGUGGCGCACACGAGUCCACAUAUUCACCAUAUCAAUACACCACUAUGGAACCGCUCCCGUCUCCCUACGAGAACGCCAUCCAUAGCACUCACGCUUAUCUUGCGUAUUUUAGGGUAUCCACUUUCACUUGUCUAUGAACUGAUAUAAGCAACCCAGAAGUCCUUUUCCGUGGACACGGCUAUUCGAAUAGAUCAUAUUAACCCUGCAGGGGUGUACUUCUUCACACACGCUCUCACCACUUACCGCCGUUUACACGACAUGUACUCGGCAACCUUCAAGCGGAAGCCCAACGUGGGUGUCGGCCACGGCCUACCUAAACACUCGAGUCUCUAGUCCAGGUUUAUCGCCUAUUCGGGUUCCAUCCAUGAGGAGAUCCGGCCGGAGUUUCGCUCACAGCCCCAAACGAUGUGUACAGGGUUCCGUGACACCAAACGGGCGCCCGGUUUACCCGGCCACGUGCCUACCGCAUCACAGCCCACCCCUACGGUCAGCGCUGCGCACGGCCUCCAGCAUACUACAAACACCAGAAACUACUUGCAACUCCUGGACAGAGGACAAGGGUGAUCAAGAAGCCGAGAGGGUCCAUUGGUUUCGGGCCCAAUGCGUGGUAGUAGCUGAAUCAUGGAUCACAAACACAGAACUCAGUUCCUGAGGACGGCUGCAAUGAGACAACCCACCAUGUACUCCUACAUGGCCUCUCACCGCUACCUUUACCAAAUCGUAUUCACACACUUAGCUCACACACAGUAGGACAGGUUCACACGCCUCUGAUUCAUCCCCGAUGAAUCAGACCCGACUCGACUCUAAGCAGUAGCAGGCAUGACAAACAAGCAUGAAUGAGUAGGCACAACAGGGCUCAAACAACUCCUACUCAUGCUAGUGGGUUUCAUCUAUUUACUGUGGCAAUGACAGGUCAUGCAAAGGAUAAAGGGGUUCAGCUACCGCAGCAGGUAACAGAUGAAUCGUUGUUGUCCUAAUGCAGUAAAAGAGAGCAGGAGCGAGAGAGUGGGAUUGUAUCGGAAUGAACAAGGGGGUUUUGCUUGCCUGGCACUUCUGAAGAUAACAUUGAGUCUUCAUCAGUGUCAACGAUCACAUCAUCGGUAUCGCGUCUAUCGAGAGGGGACAAAUACCGGCAACACAGAAAGGAACACAAUCAAUGCAAUGCACAAUAUGAUGCAUGAUCAUGACAUGGCAAAAUGAAUGUGUUUUGGACUAAUGCAACUAGCAACAGAUUAAAUGAAGUUGGUUUGAAUACGAGAUUCAAUUUCAAACUCCAUAUAUGAUUAUUUAAAUGCCAUUUAAUUGAUUUGUGCUAAACAGCAGCUAUAAGUUGUUCUAACAUGCAUGAAAAUGGUACAGAUGGAUUCCUUGAAUUUUUCUGAUAAUUUUUCAUAUAUAAAUUAUUUAAUUUGGAGUUACGGUUAAUUUUCUAUGUUUUUUAGAAGUUUUAGCUAUUUUCUGGAAUUUCCUGAAUAAUAUUAAAUCCAGAAAUGAUUAUGGCGUCAGCACCACGUCACAGUGACGUCAGCAGGGUCAACUGGGCUGGCUCGGGUCAAACCUGACGUGUGGGGGCCACACGUCAGUGACACAGGAGCUAAUCCCGGUCAAACCCAGCGCUGACUGGGGUUUGACCAGGGGUGGGGCCCACUGUCAGUGGCUGUGGGGGUGUUUAGCGUGGUCAUUAGUGCUAACUAAAUCAGCGCCACGUCAGCUGCCGGCGUUUAACUGCCGGCAAGCUCAGAUCGCGGCGGCGUCCGCGUCGGGUUUGCGCUACAGGGCGCCGUUUUACUCGUGGUUUGCGGCUACGGCUAGCUGGCAAAGCAGCGCAUCUAAUGGAGCGAACGGGAGGAGCUGGGGUGGCCUGAGUCGACGGCGGCGAGCUCCAAGGCGGCGGCCGAAGUUCGGGCACCUGCGGGUUUGGCGUUGUGGUGCUCGGGAGGGGAAGCUAGUGGGUUCUACGUGCUCCUGGUGAGGUUUGGAGCACGGUGGUGUGCCCGGCUUUGAGCCACGGUGGCUCUGGCCACGACGGUGACGAGGCACGGCAGCGGCGAGCUCUCGGAUCCGGCGGAAGCAAUGGCUAGAGCGGCCAAACGGCAUGGGAAGAAGAGGGAAACGGGUCAGCGGCUCACCGCGAAGCUGCAGGGAGGGUCAGUGGGCUCGGGGGCGCGCCGGAGUGGCCGAAUCGACGGAGAAGGGCGCCGGGGCCGAAGCUUGAAGACGAUGGCGAUGGCGGCUGCUCGGGGCCCUUCUGGUCGCGUGAGACGACGAGGAGGACGGGGGCGGAACAUCGGAGCUUUGGGAGGCGUCGGGGAGGCGAGACGGUGGUUGUGGCCGCGCGAGCGCUGGUCGGCGGCGACGGGCUCCAUUCGGUCGCGGGAGGGGGAGCAGAGGAGCGAGGGGGAGCGAGGGGNNNNNNNNNNGGGUCGAUCUUCUCGAAGAUCGAACAACUCACGGAAUGAGACAUAGGACCAUCUCUCGGGUUGAGACACGAGAUACACAUCAAGAGGGGUGGAAAGAAACGGAUGACGAAGGUUCACUAGGUGGACAACAAUUCCACACUUAAGAAGGUGGUAAACGAUUGUCCACGUAGCGAGGAGUUGAGUUGCCAUGAUACCACGACGAAACAUCCUGAAGGAGGGUGAUUCGUAGAUUAUUUCCUUAAGUGGCAAAAAGAAUUACCUUUGAUUCAGAGAUCAUUGAAAACCUUUAUACCAGCCUAAGGCAAUUCUCAAGCGAUCGUUUGGAGGGGGUCAGUAGAAUGGCAUACUCGGACUUGGAUGAUGUGGAUUACCUUGUUGAAGACAACGCAAUGGAUGAAUUUGCUUAUCACCGGAAAUGGAAGAGACCCAUGGUAGAAUGGCACAAUGGCGGUGCAAGCUGGGAACAGAAUGCAAAUGCUGGGAAUGAUUCUGGUAACUGGGGAAGAACCCAACAAUAGAGAGUGAAUUCACUGUUUGAAUAGGUCAUAGCAUUGCCGAGGAAACUGAGAGGAAUCUCAGUUAGAGCCGAUGAUAACACGUAGCGCUUGUGCGUGCUCUCAAGAACUUGAGCAUUUCCAUAAUCAUCAAGGUUUUACCAACAUCCGUGUCAAGGAUCCUGGCAACACAACUUGCUACCAUGAUAAAUGAUGAUGGAUGAUGCAGAUGCAAAGGAAGAUAACACUUUCUCAAAUUUCACCCUUGGCGGGGCCAAGGAAAUAAAAUCUGGAUGAUCAACCGAGAGACAUUUAGCACUCCGCUUCUAAUGUACUCCUUGAUGUGCUAGCGUAAUCCACCCAUAGAUAUGGUUUGAUAUCUAGAACAUCAAGUAAAAGGUCGGACUUCGGAACACAAAAAUCCAUAGGGGCAACUAGGGAGUAAACCCUACGAAAUCCCUAUGGGGAGGUGGCCAACUUCAUCAAUCAAGAUAUUAUAAUAACAGGUCUUCCGGCUGGGUGUGUUGGCCACGACAUCCACUUUACCGGUUAUCGCGCGACCAACAUUAUAAUUCUUGGGAAAUAUUCCAACCAUCAUAUCUGCCUGAGAUUCAGAUCUGGUUGGUGUCAGGAUAUUCCAGACUCAUCGAGUCUAGGAAGAAAAACGGAAGUUUGCCACACAAAUCGACGAGAUGACGUUGCGGGAUUCUCGGGAGAUGAACUACGAUAGCAAGCUCCAAAACAUGAGCUGGUUCUGCUACAAACAUGUGAACACGUUGUCCCAGACAAGCAUGACCACGUGGUAGUCUUAUAAUAAAACACUACCGAGUUCAGGUGGGGAACCAUCAACGAGGAUAUCAAAAUCCUUGCAUAAGGCAUGCUCUUAAGAAGGAACUUCUUCUCCUUGAACAAAUCAAUCAGUGGCUUGGUGUGCUCGGAACACAUAUGGAAUGAAGGUUGCAAGUCUCCAGACCACAGAAUACUUCGCACGUAUGCAUGACUGACUUGGGAUGAUUCCAGAGGAAGCAAAACUAACUUUCUCAAAUCCACGGCGGCAACUUUCACCAAAUGCACGUGUAUAAGAGGAAGUCACUCCUUUCAUCAAACAAAUACUUCAUGAGCUAGCAUGAAGAUAAUGCUUUCAAAAGUUUCCAACACUAGCUUAAUGUUCAACAAAAUCAUGGAGGAGAUAAGGAUGUUGUCAAUGGGCUCAACAACAAUUCAUCUAGGUUUCCUUUUAAAAGGAAUUCCAUAGUUAAGUGAACACGGUGAUAGCAUUGGUCAGACCAAAGAUGUAAUGGUGUAUGCUCGAGGGAUCAACCACGAAUAAUACAACAUUACGAGCAUCGUUGGUACUGAUUUGAUUUGACGAUAGCCCACACUCAAAUCAAAGGAUUGAUAAGACAAUAGGUCCAGCAACUGAUCACAGGGACCAAUCAAUGAAGAUAUCAUCUUUCUUCAACACACACUACACAAGAAUAUCCCUUUGGAACAAACUAAGUUAGGCAAGCUUUUAUCUUCCAAUUCUCCAAGUUGUUGUCUAGCUUAACCAACUAGCUCAGGGAUAUCCAACACAGAUUCUUGGAGAAAGGGUGGUUCACAAGAAACCAACUUGAUCACGAGCUCAACAUAACAGUCAGGGAACAACCUGGUAAUACUUCCGAGAAGAUAUUCGGAAAAUCAUGAACCACCGGUAUGUUACUAAGCUCGAGAACAAUCUCGCUUUUGAGGGCAAGACGAUAUGAUAAAAUGAGUGAGGACUUGACAAGAUCCUAACUCAUCAAUCGAAGGGUGCACCGAAAUAAGGACUAGGUAGCACGAUCAGUCUUAGAAGGAUGAUUCAAAAACCAACACGCUAAGAAUGAAAUUAUUAUCCUUUAACUACCAAGCAACGAGGUUGCUGGGAGUAUUGAUUUCACACAUCUCAAUUCAUUUAUCGGUAUUCCGGUUGCAUCAACACGAGGGCCGAGGAAUGACUAAUGAUGGUGAGAAGUAUCACUACGUCAAAAUUCAUGAGAGUUGGUGCAGUUCUCAUGACAAUUCUGACAUAGAGGGGUAAUACUCCAAGGUAGAACAGAACCAAAAGCUGGAUUGGCAUUUGAUCUGCGGCAUACAACUUCUUUGACUCAAUCCUGGAUAUGGAAGAGGUACUGGAGUUUGUUUCUCCUAGUCAUUCCGAACUAGAAUGGCUUGACGGACCACAAGAAUAACGAGCAUCGGUGAACACGAAUGCACGACAUCAACUUGACUAUCAACUGCUGGACAAGGGUCAAAUACAACUACAGAGGGACAACUCAAAAGAACAUAUGAUUUCCUGAGUUGUGGAUGCAUGGUUUAGCAUGUCGAACGAAGUUCAACAUAUUUCUUCCGGAUAACCCAUGUAGAAAGGUAGAACUGGCAGAGCCACAAUAUAUAAUGGAGAACUCAUCAAGAGCACUCUGGUUGUGAUCGUUCAGUUCAACGAGGAACUUCUGCCAUAAGUAGUUUAUGGUAUUUGGAAGAAGGAGAUACCACGGACUUCAAGGACUAUCGCAAAGGUUACUAAUAUCCUAAAGGCAUUAGCAAUUACUAUCAACAUGAAGUAGGUAGAGUGAAUCUCGGGUUCAAGAACCCAGGAACAGAAUACCUACUACUAAGUAGCAUCACGGGAUGCUUCCGAGAAUAAAGGCCAGAAUCAUCAUACUGGGAACACAGAUCAUGGCUAGGCCACUAGAUGAUCCCCUAAGACACCUAGGGUCAUAAUAAUAUCUCCAACAUAUAUGUCAAGGUAACAGAGUACCUCAACUCACUGAUUAGUGUGGUUAAUCUGGCCCAUGGGAACAUUGAAACGGGAAGAAAGGAUUUGCAAAUGCAUCAGACUACUUAGAAACCUGGGAUGAUUCGGAUAGCAUAACGGCUGUAAAUGCUCAGAAAAGAUUUGAGACAUUCACAAAAAUGGUGGCAUAACCACUCAGAAGCACAAUAUCAAGGUUCCGAGAUCAACAAUUAACAUACGGAAGUAGUAGGAACUGAACUGAGACUUAAACCCAACAAUCUUAAGUCUACGGAUUAGUAACACGUGAUCCUGAUAGAAAGAAGAGAUAGCCUAGUUCUUAAUCCCCGUAGAAGAGAAGAUGAUGACUCAGAUCAGAAGGCCAUGAGGUAUAAGGAGUAAAAAGAGCCUUACGUUCCAUCCCACAAUCAAUUCCCUUAUAUAACUAAGAAUUUCUAGACUCAACUUCGACCAGUUUGGCUUGGUAAUCCUACAGGCAGUCAAGCUCUGAUACCAACGCUGUCAGGACCCCGACUCAAUGCCACAUCGACCUAGCAUGUAACACCUCAUAUCACUUUGCGGCCUCACGCACGGUAUUCCCACGGGUGUCGCCUUACCUUUGCCCGGGACCGUUUGCGCCUUUUGGCACACGUAUAUGACAGUGUCGCUAGCAUCCAUAUGAUAAGGAGCCCGGGCUGACAUGGCUAGUCGUAAACCCAAAGUGGCACAGACUUACAGGGACAGGCAUCCAUGACCCAGCAUCGAACGUGUCGGUCAUCAGCGAGUGAAUCCAGGCUGUAGCACUGGGCUAACAGGACUCCGGUAUUCAUCGCGUGACAUUUCCCCGAAGGGACAGACACAGGAACGAAGAAGGACACAUGCCGGCCAGCCUAAGUGUUCCGGAGCAGUAGCAAGCUACCAUGGCUCAGUGGAAACACUAGGAGACAUUUCCCGGUAAGAGAGGCUACUAAAGAUAAACAACUAGAUGGUCAGAUCCCACACAUACCAAGCAUUUCAAUAACAUACACACAAUAUGCUCGAUAUGUGCAAUACAACAUGGCAUCACAAAAUGACUCUACUACUCAAGUAGUUUAUUCAAUAGGCUCCGAGGAGCGAGAUAUUACAAACAUGGGUCUCGUGACCCAACACUCAGAGCAUACAAGUCAAAGCACAAGCGGAAGCUAUCAUGUCUGAGUACAGACAACUAUAAAUGAAAAGGUUGAGAAGCCUGACUAUCUACCAGAUCCUGCCGGGGCACAAGAUCGUAGCUGAGGUAACAAGCUAAACGUCGAAGACCACACGGAAUUACUAGUGAGACUGAAGUCUCUCUGCAAAAACAUAAAAUAGGCAAACGUGAGUACAAAUGUACCCAGCAAGACUUACAUCAGAACUAUCUACAUAUGCAUCAUUAUCAACAAAGGGGGGUGGUGGGGUUUAACUGCAGCAAGCCAGCUUUGACUCGGUGGCUAUCCUGAACUACGACUGCAAGUAACUCUUUUGAGGUGGCGCACACGAGUCCACAUAUUCACCAUAUCAAUACACCACUAUGGAUCCGCUCCCGUCUCCCUACGAGAACGCCAUCCAUAGCACUCACGCUUAUCUUGCGCAUUUUAAAGUAUCCACCUUCACUUGUCUAUGAACUGAUAUAAGUAAUCCAGAAGUCCUUUUCCGCGGACACGGCUAUUCGAAUAGAUGAUAUUAACCCUGCAGGGGUGUACUUCUUCAUACAUGUUUCCACCACUUAGCGUCUGCACACGACAUGUGCUCGGCAGACUUCAAGCGAAAGCCGACGUGGGUGUAGACCACGACCUACCUAAACACUCAAGUCUCUAGUCCAGGUUUAUCGCCUAUUCGGGUUCCAUCCAUGAGGAGAUCCGGCCGGAGUUUCGCUCACAGCCCCAAACGAUGUGAACAGGGUUCCGUGACACCAAACGGGCGCCCGGUUUACCCGGCCACGUGCCUACCGCAUCACAGCCCACCCCUACGGUCAGCACUGCGCACGGCCUCCAGCAUACUACAAACACCAGAAACUACUUGCAACUCCUGGACAGAGGACAAGGGUGAUCAAGAAGCCGAGAGGGUCCAUUGGUUUCGGGCCCAAUGCGUGGUAGUAGCUGAAUCAUGGAUCACAAACACAGAACUCAGUUCCUGAGGACGGCUGCAAUGAGACAACCCACCAUGUACUCCUACAUGGCCUCUCACCGCUACCUUUACCAAAUCGUAUUCACACACUUAGCUCACACACAGUAGGACAGGUUCACACGCCUCUGAUUCAUCCCCGAUGAAUCAGACCCGACUCGACUCUAAGCAGUAGCAGGCAUGACAAACAAGCAUGAAUGAGUAGGCACAACAGGGCUCAAACAACUCCUACUCAUGCUAGUGGGUUUCAUCUAUUUACUGUGGCAAUGACAGGUCAUGCAAAGGAUAAAGGGGUUCAGCUACCGCAGCAGGUAACAGAUGAAUCGUUGUUGUCCUAAUGCAGUAAAAGAGAGCAGGAGCGAGAGAGUGGGAUUGUAUCGGAAUGAACAAGGGGGUUUUGCUUGCCUGGCACUUCUGAAGAUAACAUUGAGUCUUCAUCAGUGUCAACGAUCACAUCAUCGGUAUCGCGUCUAUCGAGAGGGGACAAAUACCGGCAACACAGAAAGGAACACAAUCAAUGCAAUGCACAAUAUGAUGCAUGAUCAUGACAUGGCAAAAUGAAUGUGUUUUGGGCUAAUGCAACUAGCAACAGAUUAAAUGAAGUUGGUUUGAAUACGAGAUUCAAUUUCAAACUCCAUAUAUGAUUAUUUAAAUGCCAUUUAAUUGAUUUGUGCUAAACAGCAGCUAUAAGUUGUUCUAACAUGCAUGAAAAUGGUACAGAUGGAUUCCUUGAAUUUUUCUGAUAAUUUUUCAUAUAUAAAUUAUUUAAUUUGGAGUUACGGUUAAUUUUCUAUGUUUUUUAGAAGUUUUAGCUAUUUUCUGGAAUUUCCUGAAUAAUAUUAAAUCCAGAAAUGAUUAUGGCGUCAGCACCACGUCACAGUGACGUCAGCAGGGUCAACUGGGCUGGCUCGGGUCAAACCUGACGUGUGGGGGCCACACGUCAGUGACACAGGAGCUAAUCCCGGUCAAACCCAGCGCUGACUGGGGUUUGACCAGGGGUGGGGCCCACUGUCAGUGGCUGUGGGGGUGUUUAGCGUGGUCAUUAGUGCUAACUAAAUCAGCGCCACGUCAGCUGUCGGCGUUUAACCGUCGGCAAGCUCAGAUCGCGGCGGCGUCCGCGUCGGGUUUGCGCUAUAGGGCGCCGUUUUACUCGUGGUUUGCGGCUACGGCUAGCUGGCAAAGCAGCGCAUCUAAUGGAGCGAACGGGAGGAGCUGGGGUGGCCUGAGUCGACGGCGGCGAGCUCCAAGGCGGCGGCCGGAGUUCGGGCACCUGCGGGUUUGGCGUUGUGGUGCUCGGGAGGGGAAGCUGGUGGGUUCUACGUGCUCCUGGUGAGGUUUGGAGCACGGUGGUGUGCCCGGCUUUGAGCCACGGUGGCUCUGGCCACGACGGUGACGAGGCACGGCGGUGGCGAGCUCUCGGAUCCGGCGGAAGCAAUGGCUAGAGCGGCCAAACGGCACGGGAAGAAGAGGGAAACGGGUCAGCGGCUCACCGCGAAGCUGCAGGGAGGGUUAGUGGGCUCGGGGGCGCGCCGGAGUGGCCGAAUCGACGGAGAAGGGCGCCGGGGCCGAAGCUUGAAGACGAUGGCGAUGGCGGCUGCUCGGGGCCCUUCUGGUCGCGUGAGACGACGAGGAGGACGGGGGCGGAACAGCGGAGCUUUGGGAGGCGUCGGGGAGGCGAGACGGUGGCUGUGGCCGCGCGAGCGCUGGUCGGCGGCGACGGGCUCCAUUCGGUCGCGGGAGGGGGAGCAGAGGAGCGAGGGGGAGCGAGGGGGAGGGAGGUCCAGAGAGCGAGGGAGAAGUGGGAGGGGGUCGGGAAGGCGCGUGGCGUCUCCGGGCGUCGAGGAGGGAGGCAACCAGGCAGGAGGUGGCCAGGGGGAAGCAGGAGGUGGCCGAGGCCUCUCGGGCGCGCGCCACGCCUCGCCUCUGUUCGUCCUCCUGGCAGAGGAGGAAGAGGACAAGGGGGAGGAGGUGGGCUGGGCCGGCCAGAUGGAGCUGGGCCAGGUAAGUGGCGCCAGGUAAGUUCUGUUCUGUUUCAUAUUUUUCUUCUGUUUUGUUUUUAUUUAAUCUUUUGCCACUGUUUUGAAAUAAAACAAAUUCAAAGACAGUGACAAAAUUCCCCUGAACAUUUUAUUUAGCACAAUGGGAUUAUACCAAAGCACAUAAAAAUGUUUCAGUUAUUUGAACAUAUAUUCAGUAAUAUUUGGAUAUAAGUUCAAAUUCAAAAUAGUAUUGAUUUAAAUUCAAAGUCCCAAAAUAAAUCCUUUUAAAAUGUUCAUUAUUUUUGGUUUAGAUCAAAACCCUUGCCAAAAAUAUUAAACAUCUAAGAAGAGCAUUUUGGAACAAUGGAUGAGAUUUUAGGGUUUUUGCCCUUCUUUUAUUUAGGGUUUUGAGGCUUCUGAAUUCCUCAAUUCAAAUUUCAUUUGAAUUAAAACAUGAUGCUCACAUGAGGUCUAGCCUAGUGCAUAACAGGACCAGGGAUGUGACACUAACAGCCAUCCAUCCCAUAUGCAAUAUAUAAAUGGAUCCCAGGAGGGGAAACUGGAUACAGAGACAAGAGAACCAAAAAAAGAUACUCUAGUUAGGAGAGACAAACUGCAGGAACGCAUUAAGCACAUGCACAUGGAUCCCAUGGGAAAGGGACAGGAGGCAAUCAUUAGGAGAGCCAGAAACCUAGCUUUAAUCAAGACAUUAUUAUGAAGCAAAGGCAGAUCUAAAAGGAUGGGAUUUGUCCCCCCACCCCGCAAUUUCCCCCUGAAAUCUUUGAUAAGACCACGGCUACAUAGAAGAAAGAAGUCAAACUCUGAAAGCAUAUCCACUGUCCAGCACUUGCAGCAAAAUGGACAUGGCCAGGCCAACAAAUCUUCUACUCCCUCCGAUCCAAAUUAAUUGAUGCAACUUCAGCACUAUCAUCUUUGUACUAAAGUUGUAGUACUAAAGUCGCGUCGAUUAAUUUAGAUCGGAGGGAGCAGUAGGAAAUUACAUUGUGCAAUGAGGUCUGUGCUCUAGUACAAGAAACUACAGAGAACAAAGGGACAAAUCUGGUUGGCCAAAAGAGACAGACAAAUAAAGGGGGUAGCAAGUUUGUUUAUAUAUAGUCCCUCUGCCCCCAUAGUAUAAGAUCUUAUACAUGUUGGAUGUAAUAAAAUCUUAUAUUAUAGGACGGAGGUAGUAAUAGACAGACAGUAUCUAGGAGAGGAACACAGAUGGCUAGCCUUUUUGUUUUCCCCUGAUGAUAUGCCGGCGACGAACACGAGAAAGCGGAGCGAGUAAACAACACAGGUACCCAGGAGGGAAACUGCAGGUAUGAGUCAACUAAACUGGAACCAGAACUGAAUUCGCGCGCGCGUGCACACAAGCAAUCGCAGCAGGAAAGGGAGGCGGCUUACCAAGUAAUGAUCCGGCCGGGUAGGGGACGAACGGCCUCUGGCCUGCGGCGAAAUUCGGGAAGGUGGGGAGAUCUUUGGCAGCGGAAUCUGCCCGAGUUUACUCCCCGCUGCCGCUGCGCCUCUCUUGUAGCUUGCUGGCUGCGGUGGCGGGACAGUGGUGUCACGUCCGAAUAAAGCAGCAGCGUCCGGAGCCCAACCCACUAAUCUCCAAACCUCACCGACUUUUCUGCCAUGUCCCAAACUCUCUUGACUUUUGGUACAGGAUACAGCAAGGAUUCAUUGGGUGGGACGAGAUGAGGGAACAAUACAGUAGGUGAGAUGCUGAGAGAACAGGAGGGGAAAGUUCAGAGCCUCUCCUGCUAAUCCACAUCUACUCUAGACUCUAGACUUAUACCCAUGGAAGCUUUAUUCAUCUUCCUUUUUGCGCACAUGGCUUGUCUCGCCAUUAUUCUCCCCAUGCAUGCCACCUCUCCUCUCCUCUCUCGCACCGCACUGAUUUCAUGCAUGUUUUUCAGCUUUUGUACUCGGCGAAAAUGCAUACCGCCUGAUCCCGAAGGUAAAGGAUAGCCAAAUGAUUCAACUUGUUCACAUCAUUAGUAGUAAUCUUUAUAAACAAAGUAUUCCUGGCCUUCUAUUUUUUGAUGUUUCCUACUGUUUGACCCGUUUGCAGGUUUUUACAAGGGAAUUAGUCCAGGUGUUACUGGUUCGCUUGCCACAGCAGCUACAACAUAUUUUGCUGUUAUUCACUAAGACAUGGCUGGAGCAUGCUAAUCCCAAUCUAAGAGGUCAUUUUUUUUAUAGAAAAGGAGGUUAUCCCCCGGCCUCUGCAUUCGAAAGAUGCAUGCGGCCAAUCUAAGAGGUCAUUGGUCUCAUUUUAUUGCUAGAGGAACUGAUGAGAACUUUGGUGGCACUUUGCUUUGGCAUUGUAAUGUACCUGGUUACGUAAACUCUAUGCUGGCUAGCGAUAAAAUGCUUUGGAGCAUUGUUUUCAGACUUUCAGCGUGUUCGCUAUCUGGAUGGGAGUCCUGGGUCUAGUUCCUCGUGUCCAAUCCUUGUUUGUGUUGUUCAUUGCAACUAUGUACAGUACAGGGUAUUCUCUUCUAGUAAUAAAUUCAGAUGCAACUCUUCGAAACUUCUGAUGUAAUAUUUUUAUUUUGUUUGGUUCAGUGGUUGUGAAUUGGUUGCAGAAAUUUGCCAAUUCGUUAAAUCUUGCCAUGGCCAGGUAUAAAUUAUGUAAAUAUUCAUACAAACCAAUAUCCCUUGAUAUUGCAGGCUGAGAAGAAUCCAAAUCCCAGUAUAUUCCAUACCACCAAUUCAGUUAAAUCUUGCCAUGAUCCAACUCUUCAACUGACUCAACUGACAUGAUAGAAGUUACAACAAUAAUAACUACCAGGUUGUCUUUUAAUACUCCCUCCGUCCGGAAAUACUUGUCGGCAAAAUAGAUGUAUCUAGAUGUAUUUUAGUUCUAGAUACGUCCAUUUUCAUUCAUCUUUAUGACAAGUAAUUCCGGACGGAGGAAGUACUUGAUUAAACUAUUAAAUUGGCCAUCUGACCUUUACUCCUCUGUUAGUGACAAGAUAAUAUGCUUGUCGUCGGUGGCUGUUGUUGGGGACUCCACUUAGCGCCGGCCAGCUCAUGUGGUUCAUAGGGCUGGGCGUGCACUGCUUCCUAGUGCAGGGAGACGUAAGGAGCGACUAGAUGUUACUCCUCAACUUUGUGUUGCUAGCAUAUUUCCCAUGUGGCCCUCACUUGUCACCUGUCAAUUACACUGAGGAUGUCUAUCAUUGAGAGCCUGUCUAUCAUAUAAAAAAAGAUGAAACUCAUGGGCACUAGCACCCAUGGUUUAUUGAUAUAGGAGAAGCAUCCCUUGUGAGAAACCAGAAAUUCGUCCCCGACGUGGCUCGAACCCUGGUUGCUGGAGACGCCACUGCGCUCCCUUGCCACUAGGCUACAUCCUGUCUAUCAUAUAGAUGCGUCUGUUUGAGCUUGAACUCAUAUUCAUGUUCCUGAGCUUGAAUUUGUAUCCCUGAUGUAUCCCAUUCAUGCUACUAAUAUCGAAUCCUCCGAUGAACUAUUGAUACGCUCCAUCCAGCAUCAUCCUCAUGUUCGCAGCUAGUUAAUAUCCCAUAUGCAUCCAACUCAACUAGACGAGAGGCGUUCAUCCGUGCUAUGGUACAUGAAGCUUGAAAGCCAAACUACGAAUCUAGUGACGGGUCAUUGUGUGUAGCAAUAGCAGUGCAAGCAUAUAUCAUGUGACAGCACUACCAUCAAAAGAAGAUAAUAAGUUGAAAUGAUUUUUUUGAGCUACUUGUAUCAACUUUAAGUAAAAAAAAUUGAAGUUGGUGAACUACUUUUGUUCUUUUUAACAAAUUGGUUAUGUGCAUCAACUUUGUUGGUACACCCCCUUUUGAAAAAAAAUGAAGGAUACAAUUUUGAGUGUCUACCAAUACGACAGAAAACUAGUUGAUAAGGUACGUGUAACGGUAGAAAUGUAAAUAGGUGCAAGAAGCAACUAGCGAUGACCGAUGACUGAUCAAUCACCUACUGCUGAUAUGUAUAUUGUGACUCCGAUACUAUAAAACAGACUUGUAUAUUAAACAUUCUUUUAGUUAUUUGAGCCUUCCAAGUUUAACCUAUAACAAAAUAGUGUGCAUAAAUUGUUUCAUGUAGCAUUACACACUUGAUGCCGAACAAGUAGCAUGAACUUGUGCAUCCAGCAAGCAUGCAUAGAACAACAUCACAUGCUAGCUAGUAGCAAGGGCCGAGUCAGGAUUUAGACAUAAGGGAGGCAAGAUAUUGGUGAAGUCAUUUUUUGUCCUCACAAACUACUCAAUAGUUUAUAUCUAGCUAUAGCUAAGGCUUGCCAAGACAGUAGAUUCACAAUUUUUUUCUUGAAGUUGGAGCUUGUCUAGCUAUAGCUAAUUUGGUUCAUAAUUCUACGUGCCAAGUAGACGAAUAUCAUAAUCAAACUACUCCGAAAUAUUACAUGAAUUAAAUGCCUUGCUACAAAACAUUAUCAAAAGGAAUUUAAGAUAUACGAACUAUAACAAUCAUUGUAUAACCAAAUUGAUGGCUUAAUGACUUUUAGCAUGUAUCUAUACAGGUUUAAUGAAAAAUCAACAGUGAUAGGAUUUUUUUUGUUAUAUUAAGAUUUUUUUAUCAAUGUUGCUAGAAUACAUACCUAGAGAAAAUCUAGCCCGUGCCCAUCCCCUCUACUGCUAGGAGAAACCUGAUUGCUUAGUCAUCUUUGGCAGCCAUGCAACAACCAUCUGUGCUUACCAAUGUUCAACGAGGCAUCGACUGGUCCGAGCUUUCAAACGAUCGCGGAUGCCUAUGACCUAAUGCGGUGAUGCAUCACAAAUCAGACAAUAAAAAAUAGGUAAUCUAAUGUAUAAGUUCGACAUGUUACAACAUGAGAGUUGAGAGAAAUUAGUAGACAACAUGAUGUGUUAGCCUUUGUUGGUUCAUUGGCAGCCUAAAGAGUUGAUGACUGAAUCAACCUCCAUAGUAAAGAAUUGAAGGUUAGCGAAAGCAGAGUGGAACUAUAUCUCGCAUUCAACGAGAUGGUAGGACGUCUUGCGUUAAGCAUCUACAGUUCCGGGCCGGCCCAAUAGUGCACCUUUAUAAGAAAGGGAGAAGAAAAAGGCGAGCAACCCUGGAAUCGAACACAGGACUUUGGCAUGAUAGGCAGCGCUGCAAGCCAGUGAGUUAGCGACGGCUACGGCUUUGCGGAAAAUAGUAGGGCGCAACCUACUUAAGGGGAAAAGAGCCGGUUUUCGAUUGGGUUUUCAGUUUUUUUCCUUUGUUUUUUCACCGAUUUUUCUUCGUUCCUUUCUCCAAUUUCAUUUUUUUUGGUUCUAUAUUUUUCUUUGGUUUUCUUUAUUUCCUUUCAUGGUUCUCAUAGUUUUUUCUUUUUAUUUGUUUUGCUUCAUUUUUCUUUGUUUCUUUCUUGGUUUUUUUCCUUUCUUUUUAGUUUUCUUCAUUUUUCUUCGGUUUUCUUUUGUUUCUUUCUUGUUUUCAUCUAUUUUUCUUUUUAUUUCCCCUCUGUUUUCCUUGUUUUUCAAUAGACAUUUUUGGUAUAUAUGUAAUCAAAUUUUCUAAUAGACGCUUAACAUUUUCCAAAUACAAGUCCAAUACUUUUUUGAAUACAUGAUCAACUCUUUUUAAAUCCUUGAUUAACAUUUUUAAAUUACAACAUUAAAUUUUUUAAUACAUAGUAAACAUUUUCUCUAUACAUUUUUUAAAAUGUUUAACUAACACUAUUCAAAGGAAAUAUAAACAUUUUUGAAAUACUUGUUCAACAUUAUUUAAAAUGCCUGAUUAAAUUUUUUAUAUACAUGAUAAAAAAUUCACCAUUUUUAAGUACAUGGUCGACAUUUUUUCUAUACACAUUUAACAUUUUCCAAAUUAUUUAUUAAUAUUUUAUUUUAUUUUCAAAAGCUUGAUUAACAUUUGGAUAUACAUAAUCACAUUUUUCUCAUCAUUUUUAAUUUAUGGUCAACAUUUUUUCUAUACAUAUUUAACAUUUUUUAAAUGCUUGAUUAACGUUUUUCAAAUAAUUAUUCAACAUUUUUUCAAAUGCUUGAUUAAAUUUUUUUAAAUACCUGAUCAAUUUUUUUCAUACAUACUGUUUUUUGUAUACAUUUUUCGUAUAUGUGAUAAACUUAUUCUCUAUACAUAUUUAACAUUUUUCAAAUGCUUGGUCAACAUUUUGAAAUGGUUUUUCAUAGUGAUUUUUGUUAUUUAAAAUAUUUUAAAAUAGAAAAAAUAAAAAUAAUAAACGAAGAAAUGAAAGCAGAAAACAUAAAAGCGGAAAAAACGAGGCUAUGUCCUCCCACGCGCCUGGCCGGCGCAUCUCGCUCUCCCCUGCAGUGAGGGGUCCCUAGGUCUCGCUAGAAGCGGACAAUCGGUCUAGCUAGGGGUGCAGAUGGGGCCGUGUCCAGAUCUGGUAACAGAGGCGCAGCAGCUGUGGUAUGCCGUGACAGAGCGGGACUAUUUCUAGGAGCUUCUGCCAGAGUUUUCGACGGUCUCACAGAUCCGCCCUCUUUGGAAGCACAAGCAUGCAAUGAAGCCCUGGCGUUGGCGACGGAUCUCAAUCUCAACUCUGUAUGCGUGGCGUCAGACUGUGCCACCGUGAUCUCUAUGAUCGGCGGGGAAGUUCCUUGUCAGUUCGCUUCGGUCUUGAGUGAGAUAAACCAUAGGGCUAGAAAUUUCCCUAAUAUCCGUUUUGUUCAUGAGAAUAGAAAGCAUAAUUUUGAAGUGCCUUGCAAAAGCUGCGGCUUCUCUGUCUCUCGGGCGCCACCUGUGGCUUGUUAAUACGCCCGACAUCAUCUAUAUCCCUAUGAACAUCCAGAUUUAAUAAAGGUUACAGAUGCUCAAAAAAAGCUGGGGAUGCCAAUCUGUUUUUUUUUUUCUGUUUUCCUCUUGGUUUUUACUGGUUUUCCAUAAGAGCACUAUUUUUUUUAAUUUUUUUAAUGUAAAUGUUUUGCAAAAAUGAGAGCAUUUUGAAAAAUAUCUGAAAAUGCAUUUUCCAAAACAUGAAUACUUUUUAAAAAUUGGUGAAUUUUUUGGAAUCUUGAAUGUUUUGAAAUUUAGAAAAUAUUUCUUGAAAUAAAAUAAAAUAAAUAACUGUAAAAUGAAGCGAAAAAACCCAAAAGGAACCUUUUAAAAGGUUCCCGAAACAAAGAUUCCGUAGAGCCAAAAAGGCAUCACUUGCUAGCUGACUGUGCAUUUGUGUGACAAUUGGAAGCUGUGGGCGCAAUAGGAUUUGUCGGGGCCAAGUACUUACGUACGUGCAAUCAUAUCGCUAAUUAAUUUGUACUUUGUUCCUACUAUUAAGGUACACGUGCAUUGCACGCAUAAAAUUUGGCAAUCAAAUUAUGAAUAAAUACCAUACUAUAGCAUGUAAACUUUGAGUAAUAUAUACAUGAUGCAGAUGAUUCAUUUAAUUCUUAUAGUUUAUCUAAUUCAAAAUCAAUUAGUAUUAAUAAAAAAGUUAAUCUAUUUUAAGAUUCAUGAAGUUAUGCAUUGUAAAGCAUAAAGUAAAAACAAAUAAUGGCAAUUCAUCUAGAAAAAAGUUUGGGCAAUUAUGAUAUGAAAGAUUCUAGAACAAAGGAGAAGUGUUUGUGUUUUGAGAUUUGUGCAUUAUGCUUAAGUUCAACCAUAGUCUUCUAAAUUGUACAUGUGGCAGAAUCUGAUGAAAUGUAGAUGAUAUCCAACGGCCAGUAGUGUUUGGAUUCGUCAUCUCUACACCGUCAGAUUGACUUCAUCCAAUGACCAUCUUUCAAAAUUAUUCGCACACUAUAUAGGGGUAUAAAAAUACAAGAAUUUCUAUAAAAACUUAUAUUUAGGAACGGAGGAAGUACUAUGCAAUGUUCGCCCACCCUUGUAUCCGCCACUCGCCAAAUAUGCACAGAGUAUAGACCCAUGUCAUUGCUUGCUUUUCCAUUCUUCCUAUCGUCAUCCAAGUUUGCACGUGCAUGCAUGAAAAAAUAAAAGGCGUAUACCCCUUCAAUUUAAUUUCAUACUAGUGCCGAUGAACCCACCUUGGCAGCAGUUGAAUUGAUAUUUUGAUUCUUCAUUAUUAGUAUACAUCGCCAUCCUGUUCAUUGGUGCUGGUUGUGCUUUGGUGCUACGAGGGAGUCCACAAGCUAGGAACAGUUUCAAUGGUUUAACUCGUUUUUCGGUCAGGUCCAACUGUCUUAAUUAAUUAUACGUUGACACUCUAUCUUUAGCACAAACAGUACUCCCUUAAUUUCAAUUUGCUCUGUGUUUUUUCAUGCUCACAUUUUCUUUUGUAAAAAAACAAUUUACUCGCAAAUUCCUGUUUUGUGGUGAUAUUUUCCGUUGGAACCCCUCUCAUUGUAUGUUCCAUUUCACCUCUCCUCUCUUAACGACCCCACUACCAUGCUUGCAUUUUUUCCGCUGCUUAUUUCUUUGUCUUCCUCCUCCACUCCCGAUCACAUGUAAUGACGACACAUGCAUCCCAAUCCCAUCUAAAUGAGACACCUUUUCUCAUCCUUGUGCUCCCCCCUUUAUCAGCCCAUGAUGGCCAUUGAAUAUGAUUGCUUCCAACCGUGGUGGUGGAGAGAAAGCCAUAAUGACAUUGAUGUGUGUGUUCCGGGCGAAAGCCUUGACCCGACUUUGCUGGUGCCGUCGACGGUGGCGUUCUCGGGCGUCGUUUUCCCUCCUUGGAGGCGUCGUUGUGAAACUCAUCUUCUUCUACGUGGGGCUUGGGCUCUCCGGGUGAAAACCUAAGCUCCUGAUGUUUCCGGAGCGGGCGGGCGGCGGCGUCUUCGUCGUUUCCCCCUUCGGGGCGUUGCUUGGGAGAGUCAGCUUGUACUUGAUGCGUCUGGUUUUCCCCUACGUCGGGUUUGGUGGAUGCCGGGGCAGCGGCCCGGGACGGCUAAUGUGUGUCGAGGCGGCGGCUCGGCCUUGCUUGGGUGGCAAUCUUGGGCCACUUGGGUGGCAGGCUUGUCGGUCCGGUCGACGCGCUCCAGAGGGGGCAGUCUGACUUCACGUCGGGGCGGCGGCCCCGGAUGUGGUGCGACGUUCGUGGUCUGCGAGCGGUUGCCCUGAGCAGCAUGGGCUGCGGGCAGCCGGGUUGUGCAGCGUUGCUACUUGUGGGGAGCGGUGGUAUGUUGGGGCGGCGGCCCCGGAAGGCGGUGCCGGUGGAUUGCGCUGGGCGCGACGGAGCGGUGGAUGUCGGGGCGGCGGCCCCGAGAGAAUCACUGUGGCGACCAGACUUCUGUGGCUAAGAUGAUGGCGGGAGCGAUGUCGGCGACGCGGCAAUGGUUGCGAUAGUCGGCUUUUCUCCGGCGUGUCCAUGGUAUUGCCUCGGUUUUGUUUGUUGCUGUGGAGUCGAAACUGCGGCGGCGGGGCCCUAUGGUGUACGAUGACUGGCUGCAGGCGGCACUUUCGGCGAUCUUUCAUGGCGCCAGCCGUGCCUGGUUUCGUUUUUCUGAGUUCUCCGUCAGAGUCGGAGCUGCGUUGUAUGGCUGCAGGUCGACAUGUCGUCGAUUAGGGUGGGCUUUGCCCUGUGUUGUUCUGUCUAUGGAACCGGUUUAUGCCUUGUUGUUCCUCGUUGCGAGCCCUUACACAGGUUGAGACAAUUUUUCUACGCCGCGUUGAUUGACGACGAUUAGGAUGGGAACUUCCCCACCCUAGCCUCGGCCAAACAUGAAAAUGCCCUCAUUGUGAAACUGUGACCAUGCAGGCAGAUCGACAUUAAUUGGACCUAGAUCCCAGUCGAUCCCCUGUAAGAAAACAAGACCUAACACAUUGACCACAUGAGCCAUAUUGUAAUUAUUAGCCAAAACCUAUAAAACCAAAACUUUUUAUCACACUCUAAUUUACCACAAAUUCUCGAUCAAUGCAUGCUUCGAGAAGCCAGCAAACACUUAGGAACAACCACAUUCCAAGACUACCAAAGUUGUUUCGCUUCCGCACCAAAUAAUCACUCCGAAUCCUUGACUGACCAAGCAAGAAUUUCAACGAAAAGAACACAACAUGGUGACUCAGUACGACCAAACAACCAUUGAGAAAAAAAGAGCUUAAGAUUCACCUGCGCAGAAGAGCAUGAAGCUAUGGAGAGGACGGACAAAAUAAUCACAUAGCAACCAGGAGAUCGGAGGCAGAUCAUUUUUCUUUCAAGGAAUUCUUCGUUCUCAUUAGGAACAUCGGAGGCAGACCUGGCGGCAACAGAGCGACGUGAACCAAAUCCAAAUUCACAAAAUUAGGAAGAGGAAACUGAAAUUGCUACCAACCUUCCCUUUGGAUCAUGAAUUUCUUGCGAUCCACACUCACAAACGCAUCGAAAGAUGCUAACUCUUGAUAGAAAGGAAAAACAACACACCGUAAAACUCGUGACCAGAAGGGCUACCUACUAGGCGUGCUACCUAGAUGUCUCCACCUAGCCCUUUCCCAAUGGGCUUACCUGCUUGCCUGGAAUAUUACUCCUGGUUUUUGGGGGACUGGGGCGGUCGUACCCCCUGCCCCUCUCCAGGGUCGUACCUGCAAGAGUGGUAGUAGCCCAUAAGGAGACUUCAUGCUCGAUUAUAUUUGCCACACUACUCAGCUUUGAGAGGAUGCCUUGGAACGUCGGGGUUCUUUUUUUUUGAAACAAGGCAAAAGGUUUGCCAUUUUCAUUGAAUAAGAAGGAGUCUCAGGGGUCUUGGCCAAAGGCCAAAUACAACGUAUCACUCUCGCGGCAUGAUAUUACACAAAUGUUUCGCACCGGCCAGACACCAUAGCAUCGUCUCGUCUUUGAUUCUAGCUACUAAAACCCCAACAGCCACUGCGACAUUACGGAAUACCCUAGCAUUCCGCUCUUUCCAAAUUUCCCAUGAGACGAGCAUCAUAAGGCAGGUAAGCGGUCGUCGAGAUUGCGUCGUGUUGGAAGCGGUGGCGCUCCACCAGCUCUUCACCGUGUCAACCAUGGCCCAGUUCUGCGGGUGAAUGUCAUGAAGGCCAAGCCACGCUUUAAUCAUGUUUCAUACUCUAACCGUGUAGCGGCAUUUGAAGAGCAGAUGAGCCGCCGAUUCCUGUACUUGCUUGCAUAGGGGGCACAUGUUGCAAUUAGGCCACCCUCGCUUCUGAAGCCGGUCUGCCGUCCAGAUUCUAUUGUUGAUGACUAGCCAAGCGAAAAACUUGCAUUUUGGGGGGGCCCAAGUUGCCCAAACAAUUUGAGGCAAGUCCGAGUCAACUAAACCGAGAAACUGCGCACUGUAAGCCGUUGCUGCAGAAUAGUGACCAUCUUUGGUGAGCUUCCAAAUGAUGGAGUCUGGCAUGUCAGGAAUUAGCUGAACAUGAGAUAGCUUCUCCCAUAGGUUGACGAACUCAUGAAGAUGGUCAACAGUCAUGCCCUGAGAGAUCUUCACCUGAGACACCCAAAAAUUGUUGAGGAGCGCUUUCUGGACCGUGUAGUUCCUUCUUUGUGACAGCUCAAAAAGUUUGGGCGCAAUGUCCUUGGGUCGCAAACCAUCAAGCCAAGCAGACUCCCAAAAAAGGCACGUGUACCAUCGCCCACGACGACUUUUGUGGAGGCCGCAAAGAUGUCUCUAUCCUGUCGGUUGCACGGCGUCCCUAGUCCCACCCAGGGCUUGGUGGGAGUAAGCCACUCACCCCAGAGCCAACGAAUGCGCAGAGCAGAUGCAAAUUUUUUCAGAUUGAGAACGCCAAGGCCAUCAUGAAGUUUUGACUUGCAGACUUGCUCCCAAUUAAUUUUGCAUUUUCCACCAGUGACUUUGUCACAACCAACCCACAAGAAUGCCCGUCGGAGGGCAUCAAUCUUGUUCAUCACCUCAACCGGGAGGUUCAGCGCCGUCAUAUAAUAGAUAGCCUCUGCUCAUUCCCAGCCCACAGUUAAGAACGUCGGGGUUCUUAACUGUGAAAGAUUAUGCCUCCAACUCGCAUUCCCAGUGCAUCCUAUUUCUACAAAAUCUUUGUCACUUAACAUCUUCUCCGACACCCAACUUGUUAAAAAUAACUAGUACUUGUGAUUUUUUUGUGGGCAAGCUAGAAUCGGUGAAACCUUUUGGUUUUGAUCUACUAUAUGAAGGCCGUGCCAUGGGUCGUUGUAGGUGCACGUUGAAAUUUUUGUUGUCUGCUCUAUAUAUCAUGUGAAUGACUAUGAUUUUCUAAAUAUAUAGACGAGAUGUGAUUAAUACUGAGGUAUGCAUCAAUGUAUCAAUGCACAUGUGUACCCUGCUUCCUGCAGAUGGUGAGAUUGAUCACGGCCAACAUAAUGAAGCCUCUAAUCAUUGGUCCCAUUAUUGAAUGGACAAUGAAAGAUUUUGUGCGCCUUUAAACAAAUAGGGUGUUGAAUGAAUUUUUAAGAAAAUGGUCAUAUUGGAAUAUUCAUAUAAAUUCAUCAGAACCAAAGAAACCCUAAUCUAUAGAAUUCUUGAAGCGAUUUGAACAUAGUUUAAUUAUAUCCCCUUUCCGCAUUCAUGCGAGUGCUCCAAUAUGCUUAUGCGUUACACUAUAGCCCCUCUUCUAUUUUUCUAGACAACUGAAGGUCACCCUCAUUGCCUCUGCAUCUUGCAACUGAAAUAUACAUAUAUCCACACUUUAUUCAAAUGUACGUAACAUCAAACAAGUUACAAGAACAAGAAUACACCACACGGGAAACCCGUCACCAGUAUCAUGACAAAGUUGCAACACUUGCAAUCAAGAACUAGUGAGACCCACCGAUUAAUGCGCCUAGAAGGUUUGAAUUGCCUCUAGCUCUAUUAUGUCUCCCAGAAUCGGCCCUAGAAUCUGCAGUUCCAUAUUUACUUGCAAUCAAGCAGCCUCGUUACCAAAUUUCAAUUUUUGUUCUUUGAUUUCGAGCAUCAUUCUUAGCAGCCAAACAUGGUGAAUAUAAUAUAUCAGACUAUGCAGUGAAGGACGCCAAGGAUAACCUCACAAGCUAGCCACCAGUUCAUGUUCAACUUGAUCCAGAAUUUUUUUUUUUGGAAUGCGGCAAUGUCGUGCUGGUACAUUUGCUUGCUGUUUCAUCUCUCCACCUGAUGAUAAAAGAUAAAUGGUUGGGAAGGGCCAGCUAUCACCAAGGGGUUAAAUAAAGUAAUAAACCUUGUAAAAAUAAACACCAGCAGAGAAGCUCGUCUGUUUGUUUCGUUUUAUUUUUGUAAAACCUUCAUGGCGGCUUGAUUGAUCAGUAAAAACACCUAUAUUAUUGCCUGCUACCUGGGGCCUUUUUUUCUUUCCGGGUCUGCUACCUGUGGCCUGUCUCUCCAUACAAUCGCUUUUGAUGAUUGCCCUCCCGUUCAAGUGAUCUGACCUGCAAGGAUGAGGCCAUCUCGUUGUUGAUGCAUCGGCAGCAGCUUGCCAUAGGGAACGUGUGCCCUGCUCAUGGUGAAGGAUAAACCUCGAAAUGUUGGCACUAAUCUUGAUUUCAUGUAUCUGCAUAUUUAGUUUUGUUAUGCAUGUAACUUAGAGGGUCUACGUACUAGCUAGUCGUCGGAGCUUCAAUGAAGAUGUGUGGAGAAGGCGAGAUGUCAGACCGCCGUGAGAUACAGCAAGUCCUGCGAGAUGCCGAUGGCGGCGCGAAGCCGCAGUGCUGCAUGAGGCGGCAAAGUUGUGUGAUACGGCACACACGUAGAUGGUUGAAGCAAGACUGGCCGGCUGGACGGUGGGUUAGUUUGCAUGCAUGGAGUCGUCGUUAGCUGCAUGUAUAGCUUGGUUAGUGGGCUAGCUAAAAGGUUGGUCAUGUAGCCGUGCAUGCGUUGAGUCUGUUUGUGCAUGACCGAGUGUAGAGUUAGUUAGCAGGUGAUGCAUAUCCCGAAGAGAUUCUAGGAGGAGAUGGUGUUAUGCAGACGUGUGUAGGAUAGUGGCCGAUUGUGCCGGUCAGCUAGUGCGUGCGUGCGUAGGUUAGUGGCAUGAGUCUGGCCGUUUGUAUAUAUAUGCUACAAUGAGAAAUGAGAAGAGGCCGAGAGGGCUGGGCAAAAAAUGUAGUCUUUUGUGUUCAUUGAGGAGGAGAGCCUGUCGUGCAAAGCAACACUAGUUUUCUCCUUGGUGUAUGUGUGUGUGUGUUCUUGUGUGAGACAAGAGAAGAUAGAGAGAAACCACAAGAGAGAGUUGAGAGGAGGAAGAAGAAGCGGCGCUACAAGGAGAGGCGGCGCCAACAUCGAAAACCCCUGCUCGUUCAUUAAUACAGAAUGUCCCUCCCCCGCGGCCGCCAGCCUUCCUAGGCCCCACCGCCACCGCCGGCCGUCCCCGCCCACCUCCCCCCUCCUCCCCCUCCCUCUCCCUUCCCCCGGAUCCGCUCUGUGCCGCCUCCCCGGGAGGUGGCCGGGGCGGCGCGAGCCCGCCCCCCUUCGGCCGCCCCAGUUUCUCCUCCCCUCGCUGCCACCGCCGACGGGCGCCCCCGGCGCUGGCCGGGUGGUGUUGGCGGCGGCGGGGCCUACCUGUCCCCGCGCGCGCGGCUCCCUGCUCGGGGCAUGGGGGCAGCGGCGGUGCUCCUCGGCUUGAUGACGGCCCGGCGUCCCGGCUGCGGUGGCCGGCGGCACGCGCGAUGGUGGUGUGGCUCCUUGGCGGCGUGACGGCGUGGUGGUGCAGGUUGGCCGGUGGCGCGCCCCCGUCCCAGAUCGGGGCCCGCGGGCCCCAUCUGGGUCCUUGCCGGCCGGCCCCCGGCGUGGCUUCGUCGCUUUCUAUGUGGUGAGGAGGAGGAGCAGCUCGGACGGGGGGCAGCGAUGUCGAUGGCGUGCCAGCUGCGGCGCGAAGGAGGGAGUUUUCCGGGCCUUUGAGGGCUGGGCCGGGCCUGUGGGGCCACGGGCCCGGUAAGCUCCUGCUUUGGCGUCCGGUUGGCUACCGUCGUGGACGGUGGAGGUGGGGCCCUCCAGUAUGCUGAUGGUGCUGCUGCCCUAGUCCCGGCUCCCCUUCCUCGUUGUGCAGGCCAUCUUCGCGGUGCCGUGGUGAGACAGCGUGGGAAGCUUCGUGUCCGUGUUGGCGCAGGGAGGUGGUCGCUUUGGUGGCGAGCUCCGGUGUGCCUGAGGUGGAGGAUGUGAUCAGGAGAAAACCCUGUUGGCUUGGCCGACACCGACGCGGUGGCGCCUGAGGGUACCACCGGACCUUCCUGGAGGGCGUCGGGGCUACCCUUCCUAUCUUCUCACCGCGUACCGGGGGGAAACCCUNNNNNNNNNNNNNNNNNNNNNNNNNNNNNNNNNNNNNNNNNNNNNNNNNNNNNNNNNNNNNNNNNNNNNNNNNNNNNNNNNNNNNNNNNNNNNNNNNNNNNNNNNNNNNNNNNNNNNNNNNNNNNNNNNNNNNNNNNNNNNNNNNNNNNNNNNNNNNNNNNNNNNNNNNNNNNNNNNNNNNNNNNNNNNNNNNNNNNNNNNNNNNNNNNNNNNNNNNNNNNNNNNNNNNNNNNNNNNNNNNNNNNNNNNNNNNNNNNNNNNNNNNNNNNNNNNNNNNNNNNNNNNNNNNNNNNNNNNNNNNNNNNNNNNNNNNNNNNNNNNNNNNNNCGGGGGCGAUUUCCAGUGGACGCAGUCGCGAGGCUUCGUCGUUUUUGUCGAUCCGCCGUUAUCGGCAUUUGUUUCUUUUCUUUUUUUCUCUUUCUUUUCUUUUGGGCGUGAUUGUGCUGCUUCCACCCAGCACCUAUCGUUGGUUGUAUCUCGUAAUACAAAGCGGGGGAAACCCUUUUUGUAAUAGAGAAUGCAUUGUCAUAAUCGCGCACCUGAUUCUCCUCUUGCUAUCCAUUAGUCCCGCACAUAUUUAUGGAGCAUCACCACAUACGUAGCUAGCUACAUUUAGAUGCCCACGAUCUAAACAUAUACAGAGAAGCUGCGCUAACGAAUAUAUAUGAGAAUAUAUGCUUAUGCCUACGAAAUGAAGCUUGUGGAGUGUGUUCUACAUGUUUCCUCUACGUAAUCCAUGGUCACUUUAUUCUCUCAUGCAUGUCUCUCCUUUUUGAUCCGAUCCGAUCAUUGUCUCUCUAAAGGAGCAAGCGAUAUCGCAUCCUUCUCAGUUUGGCAUGUGAUCUCCAAGCCAAAAAAAGAUUGUGCCGCAUGAGAAGUUAAUAUAGUUUAGGAGUGAAAAUAAAGGCGACACAAUCUGGGAUGCUGCUGCUGCUGCUGAAUCAUUUAAACAUUUUUCAAACAGUAGUGAUUAGUUUUUUAGACCGUCCGGUAGUGAUUAGUAGACUCCACAAAAACAGUUUACCUUUUUAGUAGAUAAUAAAAGAACUCGUGAUAUACAAAGUGAUUUUGGUGAGACAGGGUUGGGCCGAAAGAGAGAAACGGAAGCGGUGUGGGCAACUAGUUAACUAGUUAAUUGACCAUUUCUGUUUCUCAAAAAAAGAAAGUUAAUUGACCGUUUCUCUGUUGAUGGCUUGUGGGCUGUAGUUGCCCGGGUCCAAUCCGUGUAGUGGUGCCGAUUGAUCUGUGUGAGACAAAACUCUAUUUGAUUGCAGUGAUCAUCUGCUGCAAGUUCUUGUGAAUCAAAAUAAAAUAUUCACCACUUUUAAUUAAAUAAAGGAGGAGGUUUAGACAAAUGUCCGCAUCACGCGGAGAACUAAAGACUACUCUCGUGGUAGUAUUUCAUUAUUCAAUUGAUUGACGUGAUGAGUCCAAAAUUGCCUUAUUUUUUACCUUUAGUUUGUGUUGUAGUCAUAGUAUUUCAUCAGGAUCUUGACCGAGGAGGGAAUCCGGAGCAUUAAAAUGAAAAAAAAACAAGUAUAUGGGUGAGAAUCAUAUACUUGUAGAAAAAAAAUACAAGUAUAUUGGCGUGAUGGGAACCUACCUUAAGAAGCAGAGAUCAAACGGAGUCUAAACCAGCCACACUAGCACUUCAAGGAGAGAUGAUGGCGCCUGGUACCAUCCACACUAGCACUUGAAGGAGAGACGAUGGCAAAGUGUGUCUGCUCGUACUAGUUCUUGUACCAGGUGGCGUCACAUCCCCAGCUCAAUUAUUUUACCCAAGUGGCUUCGGUUCACGACGAGGGGCUGUCACCAAAGAGAUCAAAAACUAAGAACCCUGGCAUCCGAAAGGGGUCCGAAGGGGAAUCGAUAGAAGGGCUCCGCGACACUAUCAACCCGAUCAAAGAGACUCUGCCAUCAAUCAGCAGCAUCACCAUCCCCCUAUUGAUCUCUUUGUAAUACCAAACCUUAGGUGGAUUUUCACAUAUACUACUUUGAUCCUUCAUUCAUGAUUAUCAUUAUUAUCCCUUUGAUGCUUGUUGUCUCUAUGUCCAAGUAAAAUCCCUAGUUCUCGUGGAUAUGGAGGAACCCUAGUAUGCUUAGGUGUUGAAUGCGGAACGCCGAUAGGAUUCGUCAUCCUCCUUGUAUGUUUAUGUUAAUAACCAUUUUAUCUUUGGUGAAGUCGACCCUCAAUUAUUUUCCCUUAGAGACGUAAAGGUUAUUACUAUCGGUGCGAUGAUGGGUUGGCGGAGGUAGAUCAUUUUAUUUUAAGGCAUUCUUUGUUCUUUUUAGGAAUAUCGGAGGUAGAACUAGCAGCAAUAGAGCGAUGUGGACCAAACCCAAAUCAACAAAAUUGGGAAGGAAACUGAAACUGCUAAGCAAUUUUCCUUUCGAUUGUGAAAUUUCUUGCGAUCGAAACUCGUGAACGCCUGGGCAGAUGCUAACUCGUGAUAGAAAGGAAAAAGAACGCACCGUAAAACUCAUGACUGGAACGGCUACCUACUAUGCGUGCUAGCUACCCAUGUCUCUGCCUAGCAAUUGCCCGUUGAGCUUACCUGCUCACCUAGAACAUGACACUUAAUUGGUUUUUGGCGCGAUCGUGCAUGCUGCGCCCCUCCCUAGGGUCGUCCCUGCCAGGGUAGUAGCCCAUAGGGAGACUUCAUGGCCGAUUAUCUAUGCCACAAUACUAACCUCUGACCAGGGGUCUUGGAACGUCGUGCUUCUUAACUGCGAAGGGUUGUCCCUCUAACUCGCAUUCCCAAUGCAUCCUAUUUCUACAAAAUAUGUAUCACUUAACAUCUUCUCCUACAUCCAACUAGUUAAAAAGAACUCGUCUUGUGAAAUUUUUUGUAGGCAAGCUCGAAUCAGUGAAACCUUCUGGUUUUUAUCUGCUAUAUGAAGGCCAUGCCAUGGGCUGUUUUUUUUGCCAUGGGCUGUUGUGGGUGUGUCUUGAACUUUUUGUUGUCUGUUCUAUAUAUCACGUGAAUGACUAUGAUUUUCUAAAUAUAUAUACGAUAUGUGAUGAAUACUGAGUUAUGCGUCCAUGAAUCAAUGCACAUGUGUACCUUGCUUCAUGCAGAUGGUGAGAUUGGUCGUGGCCAACAUAAUGGCGCCUCUAAUCAUUCGUCCCAUCAUUGUAUAGACAAUGAAAUAUUUUGUGCGCCUUUAAGAAAAUAGGGUGUUGAAUGAAUUUUGAAGCAAAUGGUUAUAUUGGAAUAUUCAUAUAAAUUCCUCUAAACCAACGAAACCCUAAUCUAUGAAAUUCUUGAAGAGAUUUGAAUAUAGUUUAUUUAUCUUCCCCUCACCGCGUUCAUCAAGUGAGCGCUCCAAUAUGCCUAUGUGUUACACUAUAGCCUCUUUUAUUUUUCUAUACAACAGAAGGCCGCCCUCACUGCAAGGUUGAUGCAUCAGUACAGUUCUAAAGAUGGAGCGGUGGCAGUUGGCGGCGGCGGCCUCUGAGAGCACGCCGGACCAGUGUGUGUCCCAUACCCGGCAAGUGGCUAGGUUGGGGUCUCAGGUCUUAGAUGUUAGGCUUGGCUGCGAUGUCUGUUUGGUAUUAGGCCCAGGCUAUCUGCGCCCUUCAUCAACUGGAUAGGUGUAGAGACAUUUGUUGCUUAGACGGCGGCUUUAGUCUUACUGUUGUAUGACUUUGUAAGGUCUUGUGAGAAUAAUUAAUAAAGUGACGUAUGCAUCGCCCAGAUGCAGAGGCCGGGGGUCAUCCUCCUUUUCUAAAAAAAAGAAAGCCACCCUCACUGCCUCUGCAUCUUGCAAUGUUGCAAGAUCAUAUAUCCACUCUUUAUUCAAAUGUAACAUCAAACAACUUAAAAGAACAAGAAUACACCACGUGGGAAAACCCAUCACCAGUAUGAUGACAAAGUUGCAACGCUUACAAUCAACGACUAGUGAGACCCACCCACAUCAAAACAGCCAAGAUAGUUCAAGCCUUCUUCAUUCGUCCACCCCGAUAUGAUUAUGACACCCAGAAGGUAAUGAUAGAGUGCUUUGGAUCGAGUCGGUUAGAUCUUCCGGUGAACCUACCUUCUGCUGGUGCAGAUGAACUCGAUCCAGCGCCGGCCAUGGUGAAGUAGGGGCCAGUGAUGGCGGAGAGAUGGCGGCGGUGGUGUGCUUCCCGUGAGCACCGCGCUAACCCUAGAUCGGUAGGGAUUGUAGGUGGGGAUUGUGGCAGCGAUUAACCUCGUAAGUCGUGGCCCGGCCCCCACCUCUGUUUAUAUAGCUCGGGUCACAGGGGCCCACCAACCAUGGUUUGGUUGGGCGCCCCCAAUCAGGGCGCGAGUCAGGGGCCGUUCGACCCGUUGGGUUCAAACGGGAGAGAGAUCAACCUAACAUUCUCCCCCUUGAUCUCAACUUUAAUUUUAACUUUAUACUUUCUAGUUUAUUUGUUUCAUCACAUAUUGGUACAUAGAGCAUGUUUCAUCGUCACAGCUUAAUUGCCGAUAGAAUCAUACAGCUACAACAUACGUUAUGUUCAGAAGCAAAUUCUGUUCCUUUUGGGCCUAUCCAGAAAUCAUAAGGCUUUCACUUAAACCCAUGCCGGCUAAGUGUUCCUUGAACACAUUGGGUGGUAAGCCUUUAGUUAGCAGAUCUGCAAGCAUAUCCUUUGUCCUUAUAUGCUCGAGACUUAUAGUUUGAUCCUGGAUUUUAUCUUUCACAACAUAAUACCUUAUCUCUAUUGUUUUGGCAGCAUUACUCGACUUGUUGUUGUGAGCGUAAAAUACUGCGGGUUGGUUGUCGCAGUACAUCUUUAGUGGUUUGUGAAGACAAUCUACCACUUUCAAGUCGGGUACAAAUUUCUUUAGCCAUAUCGCCUGCCCCGUGGCUUCGAAGCAUGCUAUGAAUUCUGCAUACAUCGUGGAUGAUGCAACUAUUGACUGUUUGGAGCUUUUCCACGAAAUAGCUCCCCCAGCGAGAGUGAAGACGUAUCCCGACAUGGAUUUUCUAUCAUCUCUGUCCCCUGCAAAAUCUGCGUCUGAAUACCCUUUUAUCUCUAGGGAAUCACUUCUCCUGUAUAUUAGCAUGUAGUCCUUCAUGCCUUGCGCAUAACGCAAUGCUUUCUUUACCACCUUCCAGUGCUUCAUGCCCGGAUUCUCUUGAUAUCUACCGAGUACCCCGGUGAUAAAAGCUAAGUCAGGGCGAGUGCACACUUGUGCAUACUAUAAGCUGCCAACUGCCGAAGCAUAUGGUACUGCUUUCAUUUGAUCGAUCUCGUACUGGUUCUUGGGACAUUGGAAUUUUCCAAAACUAUCGCCCUUGACUAUAGGAGCAGGUGUGGCUUUACUCGCAUGCAUAUUAUACUUUUUAAGAACCUUUUCUAAAUAUGCUUUCUGCGAUAGUCCUAAGACUCCAUUGUUCCUAUCUCGGUGAAUUUCUAUGCCCAAAACAUAUGAUGCUUCACCAAGAUCUGUUAUGUCAAAAUUUGAGGAUAAGUAUUUCUUUGUUUCUUGUAGUAGACUAACAUCACUACUAGCAAGUAGGAUAUCAUCCACAUACAAGAUUAGGAAAAUAUAUUUCCCAUUUUUAAACUUUGCAUAAAUGCAAUUAUCCUCAAUAUUUUCUUUAAAUCCAAAACUUUUAAUCAUUUGAUUAAACUUUAGAUACCACUGCCGAGAGGCUUGUCUUAAUCCAUAAAUGGAUUUCUUCAGGCGGCAUCCCAUAUUUUCCUUGCCUUUCAUGAUAAAACCCUUAGGCUGUUUCAUGUAGACAUUUUCUUUUAAAUCACCAUUCUGAAAUGCCGUCUUAACAUCCAUUUGAUGUAACUCUAAAUCAAAAUGAGCAACUAAUGCCAUUAUGAUUCUGAAGGAAUCUUACAUGAGACUAGAGAAAAUGUCUCAUUGUAAUCUAUCCCUUCACUUUGUGUAAAUCCUUUUGCCACGAGUCGUGCUUUAUACUUUUCUAUAUUCCCUUUAGAGUCAUACUUAAUUUUGUAGACCCAUUUAUAGCCUACUGUUUUGGCUCCUUUAGGAAUUUCCUCUAAGUCCCAAACAUCUUUGGAACUCAUCGAUUUCAUCUCGUCUUCCAUUGCCUUCAUCCACUUCGAUGAAUGAGGGCUUCUCAUGGCUUCUUCAUAUGAGGUGGGAUCUUUUUCCAUAUGAACCAUUUCUGUGUUAUAAACUUUAAAGUCAGUAGAAAUAGCCGACUUUCUUGGUCUUGUAGACCUUCUAAGGGCCUCAUUUUCUGGCACAUUCUGUGCCUCAACUUCUGGCACUUCUUAUAAAAUUUGUUGUUGCACCUCCCUUUCAUGCUCAACAACGGGUUCAGUCGGCUCCUGACGGACAGGUUCCGGGUCUACUCCCAUAGCUUUCAUGGGUGGAGUUGCAACUGGUAGUGAGAAAAAUGGCUCCUGAAUCAUCAGAUUAGGUGCAUGCACCCUCUUCUCCUCAAGAUCAAUUUUCCGAGCUACCAAGCUCCCCCUCAUCAUUUCAUCCUCAAAGAAGACUGCAUGUCUCGUUUCUACAAACUUUGUAUAUCUGUCUGGGCAGUAGAAACGAAAACCUUUUGGUCUGUCUGGAUAGCCAAUGAAGUGGCAACUUACUGUUUCGGGAUCUAACUUUGCAAUAUUUGGAUUAAACAUUUUGGCUUCAGCAGGGCACCCCCACACCCUGAAGUGUUGUAGGGAGGGAACCCUUCCUAUCCAUAGCUGCUACGGUGUUUUGGGCACCGACUUGCUUGGUAAUCUAUUGAGAAUGUGAAUGGCGGUUUUAAGCGCCUCCAUCCAUAAUCCUAAUGACAAGUUGGAAUAACUCAUCAUGCUGCGCACCAUAUCCAUAAGUGUACGGUUGCGCCUUUCAGCUACUCCAUUUUGCUGAGGCUCGCCCGACAUUGAAUACUGGGGUACUAUGCCAGUCUCCUGUAAGAACUUUGCAAAAGGUCCAGGGACUUGGCCAUAUGGAGUGUGCCGACCAUAGUACUCUCCCCCACGGUCGGACCUUACUAUCUUUAUUCUUUUAUCAUGCUGAUUUUCAACUUCAGCUUUGAAUAUUUUAGAUUUAUCCAACGCUUCAGAUCUUUAUUUGAUUGGAUAAAUAUAACCAUAGCGAGAGUAAUCAUCUGUGAAUGUUAUGAACGAGUCAUGUCCACCCACACUUUUCACUGGAAAUGGUCCACAAAUGUCAGUGUGGAUGAUUUCUAGUGUGCUUGUGCUAUGGAUUGCACCUUUUUUGAUUUGUUUUAUAUACUUUCUUUUAAUGCAAUCUACGCAUUGUUCUAAGUCUGAGAAUUCUAACGGAGGAAGAAUUUCACUUUUGACUAAUCUUUCUAUUCUCCCCUCGAAAUAUGGCCCAAGCGACAGUGCCAUAAUUUUGAUGAGUCGAAUGUUCUCUUUCUUUUCUUUUGUUCUUUAUUCGAUGCGGAAACAUGUUCAUUCACAUUGCAUACAGAAUGCACUUUUUCACGAAGUGAUUGUUGGGGAACGUAGUAAUUUCAAAAAAUUCCUACGCACACGCAAGAUCAUGGUGAUACACAGCAACGAGAGGGGAGAGUGUUGUCUAUGUACCCUCGUAGACCGGAAGCGGAAGCGUUAUAACAACGCGGUUGAUGUAGUCGUACGUCUUCACGGCCCGACCGAUCGAGCACCGAAACUACGGCACCUCCGAGUUUUUGCACACGUUCAGUUCGAUGACGAUCCCCGGACUCCGAUCCAGCAAAGUGUCGGGGAUGAGUUCCAUCAGCACGACGGCGUGGUGACGAUCUUGAUGUUCUACCGUCGCAGGGCUUCACCUAAGCACCGCUACAAUAUUAUCGAGGAUUAUGGUGGAGGGGGGCACCGCACACGGCUAAGAGAUCAAUGAUCAAUUGUUGUGUCUCUGGGAUGCCCCCCUGCCCCCGUAUAUAAAGGAGUGGAGGAGGGGGCCGACCAAGGAGGGUGGCGCGCCCAAGGGGGGGAGUCCAACUCCCACCGGGAGUAGGACUCCCCUUUUUCCUAUUAGGAGUAGGAGAAGGAAGGAAGAGGAAGGAGGGAGGAAGGAAAGGGGGGGGGUGGCCCCCUCCCAAUUCGGAUUGGGCUUGGGGGGGGGGCGCCCCCUCCCUUGCUCCUUUCCCCUCCUUUCCACUAAGGCCCAAUAAGGCCCAUAUACCUCCCGGGGGGUUCCGAUAACCUCCCAGUGAUCCGGUAUUGUCCCAAUCUUACCGGGAACCUUUCCGGUGUCCAAAUAUAGUCGUCCAAUAUAUUGAUCUUUAUGUCUCGACCAUUUCGAGACUCCUCGUCAAGUCCAUGAUCACAUCCGAGACUCCGAACAACCUUCGGUACAUCAAAAUAUAUAAACUCAUAAUGAAACUGUGAUCGUAACGUUAAGCGUGCGAACCCUACGGGUUCGAGAAUAAUGUAGACAUGACCGAGACACGUCUCCGGCCAAUAACCAAUAGCGGAACCUAGAUGCUCAUAUUGGCCCCUACAUAUUCUACGAAGAUCUUUAUCGGUCAGACCGCAUAACAACAUACGUUGUUCCCUUUGUCAUCGGUAUGUUACUUGCCCGAGAUUCGAUCGUCGGUAUCUCAAUACCUAGUUCAAUCUCGUUACUGGCAAGUCUCUUUACUCGUUCCGUAAUACAUCAUCUUGCAAGUAACUUAUUAGUUGCAUUGCUUGCAAGGCUUAAGUGAUGUGUAUUACCGAGAGGGCCCAGAGAUACCUCUCCGACAAUCAGAGCGACAAAUCCUAAUCUCGAAAUACGCCAACCCAACAUGUACCUGUGGAGACACCUGUAGAGCAUCUUUAUAAUCACCCAGUUACGUUGCGACGUUUGGUAGCACACAAAGUGUUCCUCCGGUAAGCGGGAGUUGCAUAAUCUCAUAGUCAUAGGAACAUGUAUAAGUCAUGAAGAAAGCAAUAGCAACAUACUAAACGAUCGGGUGCUAAGCUAAUGGAAUGGGUCAUGUCAAUCACAUCAUUCUCCUAAUAAUGUGAUCCCGUUAAUCAAAUGACAACUCAUGUCUAUGGUUGGGAAACAUAACCAUGUUCGAUUAACGAGCUAGUCAAGUAGAGGCAUACUAGUGACACUUUGUUUGUCUAUGUAUUCACACAAGUAUUACGUUUCCGGUUAAUACAAUUCUAGCAUGAAUAAUAAACACUUAUCAUGAUAUAAGGAAAUAAAUAAUAACUUUAUUAUUGCCUCUAGGGCAUAUUUCCUUUAGUGAUAACAAAUAAAGCUCAUCGUGUAGUAAAGCAUUACCCACAUAAGCAUUAUUAUACCAUAUGGCACACUUGCCAUGUUCAAAAUAACACUCAUAAUUUUCUUUGUCCAAAAAUGAAAUGCUAAAUAAGUUUCUAUUACAUGAAGGAACAUAAACAACAUCUCUAAUUAGAAGCUUGAAUCCAUCAGCUAACUCCAAGGAGAUGUCGCCGACAGCUUCAACUUCCGCUUGAAUUCCAAUGGCUACUUCAAUGCCUCUUUCUCUUCUUAGCGUAGUCCGGGUCGAAUGGAAUCCCUGUAAACAAUUUGCAACAUGAACAGUUGCCCCUGAGUCAAUCCACCAAGUAGAUUUCGAAAAAUGUGUGUACAAGGAUUCAUUAACUAAGGAAACAAUGUUGUUACCUUGCUUUGCCAUUAAGGACUUCAGCCAAACAGGGCAGUCUUUCUUGUAAUGCCCGGUCUGCUUACAGUGGAGACAAGUGUCUUUGUCCACUGGGAAAGGCUGUUGUUGACGCUGAUGCUGAUAGGGAGCUUUUCCUUCUGGCUUUGAAGGAGAACUUUUGCUGUUUUGAUUGUAGUUCCUUUUAUUGUGAUCCUUCACAUAGUUGAGUGUACCAUCAUGUGAGGCUUUUAGUCUGUUCUCUUCUUGGACACACAUCGCUAUUGUCUUUUCAAUGUCUCAUGUUCCAGGUGACAUAUUGUAGUUCACAACAAAAGUUUCAAACUCCUUUGGCAGCGAAGCCAUGACUAGGUGGACCAAGAGCUUUGGUUUGAUCUCCAGAUCCUCAUCUAUGGGCUUUAGCUUUGCUGCCAUAUUGCUCAUCCUGAGGAUGUGUGCUCUCUUAUUCCACCACCUGUGUAGUGUUCUGUCACCAGUUGUUUUAACACCUGGGUGGCAUAUAUCUUUGAAGAGCCAGUGAACUGACUCUUUAUAUUUGUAAGCAACUCCCCUGCGGAAGUGCACUCUGCAAUGGAGCCCACAAUGGUGCUCUCAAUUGUAUUCUUUAUAAAGGCCAUGCACUUUUUGUUUGCAUUAACCCACUUUUGGUUUUCUAUGAUGUAGGACAUCUCCAAAGGGGCAUAAUCCCCCCUCUUUUUAGUCCACACAGCAUCGUCAUCAGUGGUCUCUCUUACUCGCUCUAUAGGUCUGACCGGCUGUGGUUCAUCCAGAACCCAGUCCAGAUCAGCACAAACAAAUGCCAGUUCAUCUUGCUUUCCUCCACUUCGUGUGAUUGUCACCUCUGAGUGUCGGAACAUCUUUUAGGCAACUCAUCAAGUGAAAGCCUCCUGAAAUCACAAUUUAAGUGACAUCAAUAUAACAAUUAUAUGCAUUAAGCUAACUUUGGUCAAACUAAACAUAUAAUUGUCUAUGCAAUUAAAUCUAUAUUACUAUUGAGCAAAAAUUAGAAAUAAAUGCACCUUUAAAUUUUCAAUAAUAAAACAUGAUCAUGUUAUUAACAACGUUGGUCAUAAAAAUAACAUAAUCAUAUUCAUUUUAAUAAUCACUUUAACAUGCUCUUAAAAACUUAUUUCUAUCGAAACUUUUGUUAAAGAGCACUAUUAAUUAUUUACGCAGCGGAAAAACAUGAAUAAAAAUUCAUGAACUUUUUACUAUUAUACAGAAACUUUUCUUUGACCGAAUAAGAAAUCAUGAACUUUUUUUAAUUUUAUUUAUAAAAUUCAUGAACAUUUCUUUUCUGAAAAUUUUCUGUUUGCAUUUUCAGAAACUUUUAUACCUUUUUCUUUUCUAUUUUCUAAACUGAAUUUUCGUUGGAAAAACUUGCAUAGAAAAACUAUUUUCAAUCUGCCCACAACACUGGACAAACAAACUAUUAAAAUGCGAAAAAAUGGGCAGCUCUAGCCGGCCUCGACCUGUCGUGGAAGGCCCGCAGCGGCCCAUGGCCUGCGCCUCUGCAUGCUCGCCUGAGCCGGCCUGGUCCGCAGGCUCUGCCGGCCCAGCAGCCCAGCUGGCCUUCUCUCUUUCUGGCCCAGCGGCAUGCAGCGGUUUAGGUUUUUGAUCCGGGCCAUCGAUCUGAUCCGACGGUGGAACGCCAUUCUCGCUCGAACAAAAACGGGACAGAGUCCCCAGACCUGAAACCUAGCGCCCCCAUUCUGUUCUCUCUUCGAUCUCUCUCUUACCCUCAGACGGCGUACACAAGGCAGUGCCCCGGCCGCCCAGUCCGGCCGCCGCCGGCGGCGACGGAAGCCACCGCGCCGCGCGCGCGUCCUCUUCCUUCCCCUUUCUCUUCCCCUUUUCCCCGCAUUUCCUUUGACGGAGAAAGAGAGAGAGACGCGUGCAGCGCCGUCCUCGCUCUGGCCGUCCAGCCACCGCGCGAGAGCGCCGGCCGCCGGCGACAACAUCCACCACCACGCCGCGCGAGCCCGGCCACCUUCUCUUCCUUUAUUUUUCAACUCUCCAUCCACCAUCUCCCCUGAGAGAAGAGAGAGGCAGGUGCCACCCGAGGACGACCUAGAUGGACGGAGCGGCUGCGCCCCUGCCGACCCCUUCGCCGGUCGCGCGUUCCCCUUUGCGGUGAGCGCGCUGCCAUCGAAUGGAUCGGUGGUGGUGCUCUUUGCCCCUUUCGGGGUAGGUUCUUCGUCCCUGUCGCCUCAGCUUGCCGAUGCGCGACGGGAUCGAGAGGAACAGGCGCGGCCUUGUGGCGGCGCACUUUGCCGGCGAAGGCCUGAGGCCCUUCUCCGGUGAAAACUUUGUUCUUUUGUUUGCUUUUCUCUGCCCUUCUAGGGUUCUUUGGGGAGGGAUGAUACUUUUGCUUUGAAUUCUUUCUACCGAAAAUGUCUAACCCGAUCUGGCUGAUACAAUUGAUAGAGUGCUUUGGAUCGAGUCGGUUAGAUCUUCCGGUGAACCUACCUUCUGCUGGUGCAGAUGAACUCGAUCCAGCACCGGCCAUGGUGAAGUAGGGGCCGGUGAUGGCGGAGAGAUGGCGGCGGUGGUGUGCUUCCCGUGAACACCACGCUAACCCUAGAUCGGUAGGGAUUGUAGGUGAGGAUUGUGGCAGCGAUUAACCUCAUAAGUCGUGCCCCGGCCCCCACCUCUGUUUAUAUAGCGCGGGUCAUAGGGGCCCACCAACCAUGGUUUGGUUGGGCGCCCCCGAUCAGGGCGCGAGUCAGGGGCCCGUUCGACCCGUUGGGUUCGAACGGGAGAGAGAUCUAAGAAUUGCCUCUAGUUCUAUUUUGUCUCCUAGAAUCGGCACUAGAAUCUGCAGUUCUAGAUUUAAUUGCAACCAAGCAGCCUCGUUACCAAAUUUCAAUUCUUGUUCUUUGAUUUUGAGCGUCAUUCUUAGCAGCCAAACACGGUGACUAUAAUAUAUCAGGUUAUGGAGUGAAGGAUGCCAAGGACAACCUCACAAGCUAGCCACCAGUUCAUGUUCAACUUGAUCCUGAUAUUUUUUGGAAUGCGGCAAUGCCAUGUGUAUACAUUUGCUUGCUGUUUGAGCUGUACACGUGAUGAUAAAAGAUGAAUUGGUGGGGAGGGCCAGCUAUCACGAUGGUGAAAGCAGCUAUGCAACUGUUACCUACCGGGGGUUCAAGUAAACCUUCUAAAAAUAAAGACCAGCAGAGCAGCUCGUCUGUUUUUUCAAAACUUUCAUGGUGGCUUUAUUGAUCAGUAAAGAUACCAACAUUGUCGAAUAUCUAUUUCUAAGUCCAGACUCAUCUGCACCCGGUUAAGAAAAAAUUCUCAAAAAAUUCAGACAAAUUCAAAAAAAAUCAAUUUUUUUGUAUGGUAGAUAAUUUGGUGCGUGAGAUACACUCCAAAUUUCACAUCAUAUGGACAUCCAAGUAACUCUCACCAAAAAAGACAAAUUUAGCCAGAACAGUACACGAACAGUAAACUUUUUUACAAACCCCAAAUUUGUCUUUUUUGCUGAGAGCUAUCUAUUAGGCCCGCACAUAUUUAUGGAGCAGCACCACAUACCUAGCUAGUUACAUUUAGAUGCCCCCGAUCUGAACAUAUACAGAGGAGCUACACUAACGAAUAUAUAGGAGAAUAUAUGCUUAUGCCUACAAAAUGAAGCUUGUGGAGUGUGUUCUACAUGUUACUCUACGUAUUCCAUGGUCACUUUAUUCUCUCGUGCAUGUCUCUCCUUUUUUAUCCGAUCCGAUCAUUGUCUCUAGGGAGCAAGCAAUAUCGCACCCUUCUCAGUUUGGCAUGUUCUCUCGAAGCCAAAAAUGAUCGUGCCGCAUGAGAAGUUAAUAUAGUUUAGAAGUGAAAAUAAAGGCGACACAAUAUGGGGAUGCUGCUGCUGCUGCUGAAUCAUUUAAACAUUGUUCAAACAGUAGUGAUCAGUUUUUUUAGAUUGUCCAGUAGUGAUUAGUUGGCUCCAUAAAAACAGUUUAAAUUUUUAUAAAACAAAACUCGUGAUAUACAAAGUGAUUUGGUGAGACAGGGUUGGGCCGAAAGAGAGAAACGGAAGCGGUGUGGGUAACUAGUUAAGUGACCAUUUCUCUGUAGAAGGCCUGUGGGCUCAAGAUGCCCCGGUCCAAUUCGUGUAGUUUGCGUUGGUGGUCCGAUUGAUCCGAGUGCGAGACAAAACUCUAUUUGAUUGCAGUGAUCAUUCGCUGCAAGUUAUUUUGAAAUAAUCCCUUAAAAAGUUAUUUUGAAAUAAAAUGAAAUAUUCUCCACUUUUAUUAAAUAAAGGUGGAGGCUUAGACAAAUGUCCGCAUGAUGCGGAGAACUAAAGACUAAUAUCGUGGUAUUACAUUAUUCAAGUGAUUGGCGUGAUGAGUCCGAAAUUGCAUCACUUUUUACCUUUAGUUUUGUGUUAUAGUCAUAGUAUUUCCGGCAUUUUACUGCAUCCGCACACCCUUUUGUCCUAUUUCACCAGGAUCUUGACCGAGGAGGGAAUCUAGAGCAUUAAAGAGAAAAAGAAUGUUUAGGUGCUAAACAUUGAUAGCAUUCAACAUCCUCCUUGUAUGUUUAUGCUAAUAAUAUUUCGAUUUGAGAGAAGUGGAACACUCAACAUUUUCCUUUAGGGAAGUAAAAGUUAUUACUAUUGGUGCGAUAAUGGGUUUGCGGACGUACUGUGGUGCCAAAAGCUAUCUUCUUCGUUCCCUGACCACUUGAUAUGGGAUCACCUAAGAUCGCCUUUGUUACGUCCACGGGAAACCCGUAGUCAUUUCCCUGUAACCAGUUGUGGGGAGGAACGAUGGUGGCGUAUGUGAUACAUGGUUGCGGCAUGUAUGCAUGUAUCAGGACUUAGCUAUGCCCACUUACAAAGUGGCUUAGUUAUCCAAAUCAAGAACUAUGCAUUCACAUAUGUUACAUUAGAUACAUACUAGUGGGUCGGCGGGUCGUCGAUGUAGACUGGAAGACAUCAGCAGCCACGAUCUACGUAGCAAAUUGCCGUUUUGGAGAAGAAAACAUUGGUGAGGGCCGACAUAACGCCCCAGAUCCGGUCAGACGGAAUCUCACAUGCUCCUUGACGAGGCUGAGGCCGGCCAACCUUCCUCGGUUCAAACUAUAUUUGUAGGAUCAAGAUGCACAACCAUGUUGUCCGCUACAUAGGACAUGGCCACUGAGACAAACCCACACACAAAAACGCCACCCGAAGAGAGAGAUCAAGGGGCACACCAUCCAGCAUACGAUUCCUGGCGAUAUGAAGAAGCACCACAGAAUGAGAGUGGGGCACAGAUCUUAUUCCACACCGACAGUGACAUCAUCGUGUCACCACCGCCAAUCGGAGACAAAAUAUAAUUUAAAUUCUAACCCUACCACUAUUGGACCGAAGCUUUGGGGUUCAGCUCCCUCGCAUCGCCGGAGUGAUAGAUAGAGGGGGAGAUGGCAUGUGGUCUCUCCAAGAAAGUGGUAGAUCACCUACCACCCCUAGUCGCCUAAGUCAUGGAAGUAGGGAAGGAAGACCAUGUCUACUAUAGAUACUUGCACAUUUCCUGCUAGGAACACCAAAAGUUACAGCUUGUGAGCUGAGUGCCGCAUUCCAGUUGUAUUAGAGCUUUUGGCUAGUGACGUACAUCUCAGCUUGUUUUGAUUUCAAAGCUUAUUUUGUGAACUUGUAAACUUUUGGAUCCCUUUUAUAUCUUGGUUCUUUGAUAAAGGGCAUUUUUGUUCAAUCCUUAUAUUGAACUUGUACAACAGCAACACGUGAAUGGUCAACCUAUGCCUAAUAAGAUGCACACAACCACCACGUCUAGAAAUAAAACUGUUUUAGGGGAGAGAAAAAAGCAAGCAUAUGGUGAAGGUCAUGUGCAAAUAUUACUCCGUCAUCCAUAUGAGAGAAAAUCUCCCUGGCCAUAUAUUCUAGCUGGAUAGAGCCGUCUUAAAAAGGUCUAUGUAUGUUCUCCGUCCUCUUCGGGACAAACCAUAUACAGAGCCCGUGUGUACAUGCAUGAAUAACCUGCAUAGGAGGUGGAACACAUUUUGUUGUUGUUAAAAAUCACAUAAUUCCCAAAAAUCUACAAAGCCGAAGAUAAGGUUGUCUCCUCCCGAAGGAUAUGUGAAUAAAACUUCCUAUCGAUGCCCGCAGCCAACUACCAAACAUGUUGGAGCACACUAGGGAGAGGGGGGGGGGGGUAUAUGGACCACACUAGAUGAGCCAGUGUACAUUAAUAGAAGUGUUUCAUGGACUCUUCAUGGUGAAAAAAUACACAACUCCUGCUACCCUGCCUGUUACAAUGUGCUAGGUUGUCUCUAGUCAGGACCACUCUUUGGUGGAGAAACCAGAAGCAUAUUUUGAUCCUAUGUGGUAUUUUGAGCUUCCACAAUUUUUUAUUAUCCACGGAGACAUCACUUGACGGAAAAUUUGUCAUUACAGUGCAAAUUUCAUUUAAACAUGUCUGGUUCAUUCUACAACUAGGAUGGCACCAAAGGAAUAAGCAACUCAUUCCAUGAUGUGGACCAAGGCUCAAUAUCAGUACCAGUUUUACCCAAGACAUGUGCGAUUUUUACAAAUUUAUGCUUAACAAUCUGAUAUUGUCCUGCAUGUUUAACUUUAAGUGGGCUAUCCCUCAGCUAAGGCAGCCUCUCAGAAUCUAACCUGAGAGCCAUCCUUGACUAAUAAAUUACAUAAUUGGAAAUUUAAUUCCUUCGCCGUCAUCAGACUACACAAAGAUCAGAGUCACCAAGUUUCCAAUGGAGUUGAGAGAUGACAUUGUUACCCACACACUUGUUACAAAUGAUUUUCUGCCACACCCUGUAUCCAGUAAGAAGUUUUUAUAGUAAUUUACUAAGAAUCACGAUGUUUUGAUCUCAUGAUCUGAAACCCAAACUAACCCGACUUUUGGGGUCGGAAAAUCACAUUCCACUUGGCCAGUUGAUAUUUUGUAGUCUUAAUAUCACUCGCCAGGAAAACCCGAAUAUAGUUUAGUGUUUGUAGUACACCCGUCGAUAACUGAAAGAAGUAGAAGAUGUAUAAAUCAAUGUUGUUGAGGAUGGCAUUAAUUAAAGCCAACUGCCGCCAUAUGAAAAAAGGUAGCCUUCCAACUAGCAAGUCAUUAAUUUUGACGAGGACCUCGUCAAUUUCUAUUAUUUAAAUAUAUAAAAACUGUAUUUCCAAACAAUUUUAAUAUAUCAUAUAAGAAUUUUUUUGGAAUCCUUCAUAAUGUUGUUAGUUUACUAGUGACACAAGAGAGGUUUGUUACUUUGAUUGCAGGAGAAGAACAAUUUCAAACUCGAGUUUUCCAAGGAUUUAUUAUCUUUGUCUUGAACAAAUAAAUGAGCCUUUAAUAGACAUGUACUAAAAUCCUCUACGCUCAGGGCCCAACAAAUACACUAGGUAUUCGAAAACAACGUUGCUGAUCUUCACCAAAAACUGCGCACAAUCACCUAAAUAAUUCAAGAUAUCUUCUAGGUGUAAUUGAAGCUACCAAAAUGUUGCCACUUCUGCGGAGGAAUAAUUCUUUUGGGGCUAGUUCAUGAAAACAUAUAUGCAAUUAAAUUCCUACCAUAUCUACAUAUUAGUUCAUUUUUCAUUUCUUUUCUUACUCUAUUUUGAAUUGCCUUUUGUUGCUUUAUACUUGUCUAAACCCCUCCCCUCCCAAAUUAGUAUAUUUGUUUUUGCUCACACAUGAAGAAACACCCCUCCACCAAAAAAUUCACUUGCUUAUAUAACUUAGAUAUAUUUUACAUUUCUUGUUUGCACUUAGAUAUUAUUUACUCUCUUUGCACAAUUGCACCAAAAAUCACAAGAUUCCUUCUUUGUUUUGUUACUUGCUGCAUAAAUUUGAUUCCACUUCCAUUCAUUGUUGCCUAAGUCAAAACUAGGGAGGCAAGAAGUAUUUCAAAACCACCCCUUCAAGGAUUCCAUGACCUUAGUCAUUCUAGAGAAAAUCAUCAUUUACUCAAAUCUUUGCACCUAGAGUCCCAAUAAGUAACAGAAAAUCCAUUCACCACAAACAACAAAUCAAAUAGUUGUCACCAAAAGCUUUGUUGGGCACCACUAUCAUGGAUCCAUCAUCAAGAUUUUUUAGGCGCUACUGCAAGGGAGGCAAGCAAUAUAGUUAGUUAUUUUUCUUAGUUUUAGCACUAAAUUUUCUUUUAGUUUAUUGUAUUCAAUUUUAGUUAUCUACUUAAUUUUUUGUUUUUAAUUUGCUUUUGCUUAUGCAACAUUGAAAUAACAAAAAACUACUGUUGAGGAAAUCGUUAUCUGGUAACUGCUCGGUUCGCUGGCGAGUAGGGGAUUAAUUAAUAGGCUAAUUGGCAAGUUAAUCAACCAUUAAUCAAUUAUCGGCCGAUUUAUUAGUUUAUCGGCUACUAGCUGACCCUACGAGUAGGGACUAAUUGACGAGUUAACUGGUUAAUCGGGCAAAUUAUUGACAGGGCAAAAAACAAAUAGUUUUUCUUUUACAUUAUUAUAUAUAUUUAUUACCUUGCACCAUAUUUAAGAAUACAAAAACAUCAGUAAUCAUAUUAAUUACUUUCUAGUACAUUGUCUAAGCUUUAACAAUGGGUGGUAUCUUAACCAAGGUUUUGUCAUCGUCACUAUUCUUGCAUUUAUGGAAUAGUUUCACUAUAUGGCAAAAUCUCGUUCCGACAGGAUUGCAUGUUAGCACAUCAUAUAUUCAUGUAUGCUUAGCGUAUUAUCUCUCCCAAUUCGAUAUGAUUUUAGAAUAGAUUUUAUUCUAUUGUAUUGUUGGCAACGACCUUAUCUUUUGUAUUAUGUACUAUACUUUGGAAUACAACAUUCACAUGUGUGAAAAAUCUUCUCAAACACAUUAGUUUACACUCGUGUACGCUACGCUAACAAAGUAAGAGUAUGUGUUUCUCCAUUUUCAAACUGGUAGAAAAACGUCAAACGUGCAACUUAGACCAACAAUUUAACUAUGAUUAGUUACUUGUAAGAUGCAAAGCGAUACUAAGGAAAAAAUCAACACUUAUGCAUAUCUUUCCAUUUGGAGGCCCAAGAAGUAAUGGAAAAGCCAUUCAACAGAAAAAUAAAUCACACAAUUGUCACCAAGAUCAUUGUUUGGUUUCACUACUAUCAAUCCAUGAUCAAGAAUUUUCUAGCACUACUGCAAGGGAGGAAAGCACUAGAGUCAGUGUUUUUCUUGGUUCUUGCAUUAAAUUUGCUUAAAGAUUAUUUUAGUUGAUUUUUUCUUUUUUCUUCAUUAUCUUUACUUUGUGAUUUCUUUUUCAACAUUUGAAAAUAACGAAAAAUAGUUAUGGGUUUUUUGUUUACUAACUUGCAUAAAAAAAGUUGCCAUUAAUCAUAUUUGUUGGUCGCUAAUAUAUUGUUUAGAUUUAAGCAAUGGUUGACAUAAGUGUUUUUCAUCACCACCAUUCUUAGAUUUCUAGAACAAUUUCACUAUAUGGCUAGCUCCAUUAUGACAGCAGUGCAUGUUAGUAUAGCAUAUAUUCCUGCGUGCAUGCUUAGUGCAUUAUGUCUGUCAAUUCAAUAUGAUUUCUAGAAGAGAUCAAUUCAGUUCUAUUGUAUAGUUGGCAAACUUAUCUUUUCAUUAUGUACUACAUAUUCUUUGGAAUAAAACAUAACCGUGUGUGGAAAAAAUCUUCUCAAACACUUCAUUUUGCACCAAUGCACACAACACUAACAAAGUAACAAUACAUGUUUCUCCCUUCGCCCCACAAUCUAAAGGGUUGAUUUGUUUUGUAAGUUUAACUUAGACCAACAACUAAACUAAUAAUUAGUUAGUUAUAAGGUACAUAAGCUAUAAAAAAUCAUCACUUACACAAAUCUUUGUAGUUGGAGGCCAAGGAAGCAAAUAAAAGCUAAUCACCACAAAGAAUCACACAGUCUUCACCAAGACCUUUGUUUGGUGCCACUGCUAUGAAUCCAUCAUCAGGAUUGUUCUGGCGUUGUUGCCAGGGAGGGGAGCUAGAGUCAAAAUAUUUUUUAGUUCCUGCAUUAAUUUUUCUUUUGUUUCUUGUAUUCAAUUUCAGGUUUAACAAUGAGUGAUAUAUAUGUUUACAAAGGGUUAAGCAUUAUCAUUACCUUGGACUUUCAAAACAAUUUCUCUGCAUGGAAAGCUCCCGCUGUGAUGGGAACAUGUGUUGGCAUAGCAUAUAUUCCUGCAUGGCUAGCGUAUUAUCUCCGCCAAUUUGAUACGUUUUCUAGAAUAGAGCGAUGCGAUUCUCUUGUAUAGUUGACAACCUUAUAUUGUGUAUUAUGUUCUGUAUAAUCUUUGGAAGACAACGUCCAUAUGUGUGGAAAAUCUUCACAAACACUUCAGUUUGCACCAAUGGACACGCAGUAACAAAAUAAGAGUAUUUGUUUAUGCCUUAGUUCACAAUCUGAAGGGUGGACAAACAUUAAACGUUCAACUUAGAACAAUACUUGAACUAACUAUUAAUUAGUAAUAAGAUACAAAUGUGGUACCAAGGGAAAAAAUCACCGCUUAUGGAAAAUCUUUCCACUUGGAGGCCCGGGAAGUAACAGAAAAGCCAUUCACCACAAAGAAAAAAUCACACAAUCUUCACCAAGACCUUUUUCUGGCGCCACUGCUACGAAUCCAACAUCAGGAUUUUUGUGGCGUUGUUGUUAGGGAGGUGAACGCUAGAGUUAGUAUUUUCUCUUAGUUCUUGUAUUUAUCUUUCUUAAGCUUCUUGUAUUCAAUUUCAGUCUUUAAUUUUUUGCCCUUGCUUAUGCAACAUUUGGAAGCAACAAAAGAUUUUUUUUGUUGGUUUUACAUUCUUAUGUUUAUUACCUAGGAAUACGAAAUAGUGGUAAUUUUAUUUCUUGCUUGCUAGGAGUACAUUUUUUAUGCUUUAAGAAUGGAUGAUAUCCUCACCCAUGGUUUGGCAUAACCUCUUUUCUUGGAUUUCGAGAACAAUUUCGCCAUAUGGCCAGCUAUUAGUGUGACGGGAACACAUGUUAGCAUAGCAUAUAUUCCUGGAUGCUUAGCGUAUUAUCUCCGCCAAUUCAAUAUGUUUUCUAGAGUAUAUCGAUUCAGUUACAUUGUACAGUUCAUAACGUUACGUUUCGUAUUAUGUACUAUAUAUUCUUCGAAAUACAAUGUCCAUAUGUGUGGAAAAUCUUGUCAAAACACUUCGAUUUGCACCAAUGUACACAAUACUAGUGAAGUAAGAGUGUAUGUUUCUCCAUUCGCCCCAUAAUCUGAAGGGUGGACAAACGUUAAAGCUCAACUUGAGCGAACAAUUGAACUGACAAAUAGUUAUUUAUAAGAAACAUAAGUCAUACUUUUUAGAAGUGUUUAUAAAUGUAACUACAUUGUAUUAUUUUUAUGUCAUAACACUCAAAAUUAUCAUCAUCAUCAUCAUCAUCAUCAUCAUCAUCAUCAUCAUCAUCGUCGUCAUCGUCAUCAUCAUCAUCAUCGCCAUCAUCGUCGUCGUCAUCAUCAUCAUCAUCAUCGUCAUCAUCAUCAUCAUCGUCAUCGUCAUCGUCAUCGUCAUCAUCAUCAUAAUCAUUAUCAUCUUCAUCAUCAUCAUCAUUAUUAUUAUUGUUAUUAUUGUUAUUCUAGAACAGAAGUUCCCUAGGCCUCUACAUCAGAUGAUGCACACAACUAUAUUUAUUAAAGAAACGAAGCAUUCAUUCAAAACUGUAUUAAAAGAAAACAAAAGUGCCGACACAACCAGCCAAUAACAAAUUACUAAUUAGUCUGCUUCAUCAGUUUUAUCUUUCAUCCACUACUUAGAUUGUGAAACAGAGGAAGUAAGAGCAUAUACAGCCGGACCUAAUAAAUCCAGCCCCCUAAACGUUUGUAAACAUGUCCACAUAUAGUGACCGACCACCCCUCAAAUGUCCAUGUACCCAGCCGUGUAUCUUAUUUGCAACUUUCAAAUCCAUACACUCUUAUGCAACGUAAAAUAAACAUACAUACUUCAUGUAGAUCACACACAUAGCAUCAUUAUACAUGCCAUCGGAUUACCAAAAAUUGGCAUGUUCCAAAUACUAAGCUAUGGACAAAUUUCACCCACAGCUGCCCUUGCCCUUGCCUUUGUCGUCUUUAUCACGAAAGUAGCAGUUGAAGCACAAUAUGGAUCGAGCGAGCCAGAUCUACGGAUUGUCAGAGUUGUCCGAUCCGCAUCCUCCUUCUCCCAGUCCUCCUGUUUUGGGGAUAGUCCAGCGAGGGCAUGGACCUCUCGAGUUUGCUCCUUUCCGAGGGCACGUGCCAUAUGGGUUUGCCGCUUCGCGAGGAUGCGAGCUCAGUGGGCAUCCUCGAUCUCUGAGACAACGUGUGACAAGUCCUCCGCUAUUUGCCAUGCCUCUCCCUCGGUCAAGCCCCUCGGUGCAUCCAAGGGGAGGCAUCUAGUGGCAUUGACCUCAGACUUAGAGCCCAACGUUGCAGGGACGAGGCUCCACUACAGGGGUUGUGUCGUCACACUGGUCAGGCGCCUUGAGCUACUGGCGCAGGCGGACGCAAUGAACUCCCGGCGGAUUGACUCAGUCCACGGUGCACGGGCAGAUUCCUCCAGGGAGCGGCGGAGACCUAGGUGGACAGCCAGCUCCUCCUCGUCCCUGCAUGGGACGAGGUCCCAUUCGAUGGAUUGAAAGCUGUAGAGUCUGAUCAACUGUCCACCAUGCCGGAGGAGGCCGGAGAUCGCCAAAGAGGAGCUAGGAGAGGGCAGAGCUGCGCAAACUGGAUGUGGAGUGGAGCGGCAAGUGGUUAGGGUUUCGUCCGGACGUGGAUAUUUAUGGGAUGGGGGUGGGCCGGAUCCGACGUGGUGGACAUGCUCAGGCGCGUGCGGGCCUCCCCAUAUCUGCCCCCAAAUAUGGGUUGACUAUAAGGGGUGCCGGUCAAUCCCGGUGUAUAGGGCUGAUACGAGGGGUGUAACUAGGUCGCGAUUUCUUAACCAAUCACUAACCGGGCCGUCCACCCGGACAUAUAGGGACAAUAUAAGGGGUCUAGUUGUAGAGGCUCUAAUGUUCAUAGAUUAGGCAAGCGAACCAGGGUAUCAGGUGCCAAUGCAAACGACCACUUUCCUUUUGCGUUUGAUCGGAGACUCUUGGUAGCAGAUAGAGUCAUAGAGAAGGAGCCAAGGAGGAAGACAUACGGGGUGACUGUAAAGUGAAAGGCCAACCUUGUUCGGCAUCUCCGCAGCUCUAGGCUGUCGCCAGAUGGCUAGAUAUGUGAAAAACGAAGGACCAGAUGGAUGGCUAGACAUGGAUGGAGUGAGGGACAAGUUUCAACAUUUUAUCGUCUAGACCAGAAGAUGAAUUUUCACUUCUUAUCAGCAUCUCAUAUUAGUGGAGACUGGAAUAUUAUACGUACAUACUGGAAUUGCUGCAUGGCGAAUGAUCUAGUAACAUUCUGACUCAACACUCUUCCUUCCCACGUUCACACCUGAGCCUUCCUAGGUCUCCUCACCCAGAACCAAGCCCUGCAUGGUAGCCCAAAAUGCAAAGGUUCCGUGUGAAAGGUACAGCUGAUAGCAGGUGCAAUUCGUUGCUGGACAUUGCGCAAGAUGUUCUGUUUGCUGAGGCAUGGACAGGAGGAAUGGACUGCAGCUGGCAGAAUCUAUGGGCUGUAACAGAAUAAUCAUCAGCUCGGACAAUCUAGAAGUGAUUAAUCUCAUGAAGGAUGACGCCCCGCUGCACGGACAGCAGCAUCGAUCUUCAUUGCUGCUACUAGAUCCCUCGGUAGGGAUUUGUGAAGGUGGUUGUAUAUGACUAUGAGCGUGCUUAUCGUGAUGCCAACUACAGUAUAUUGCUAAUGAUUUGGCCGAUUUUGGCGAAAUACCAAGACCCAAUAACUUGGUUAGAUGAUCCUCUUCCCUCAGUUGUACCUCUUUUGGUGAAUGAUGUAACGCGAUUAAUUAGAUAAUGAAUAAAAGAGGUUGUUAAGGUUUCCAUGUCAAGAAUGAACAAGCUAUGCACACGUAAUGUCUACUUAAAAUAGCGGCUUAAAACAGCAGCUUAAAAAUCAGUUUAAACAAACACAGUCAUCUCCAUGCCAUCCCCUGUCGCUCAGCAUUGGCUCCGCGUGCUCUGCGCCGGAGCGUAUUCGCCACCCAUCUCCCACCCCUCCGUCCGCUUCUCCUCACAAACAACGGUGGGUGCUCAUGCCCUAGCCAGCCUAGAUCCCAUGUUGAUGGACGCCAGAAUCGGAAGCAUGUGCUGCACACCGCAAGAGGCAGCGGCGAGGGAGAGGGCGUCGGCGGAGGAGGUAACUUCUCCCGCAGGUCGCGUGUGUCCACACCCGCGCUGGUAGAUCCGGAGGAGAAACUCCUGCGCAAGGUCCUCCGCCGGUCGGUACUAUGGCGGAGAUGGGUGCGAGGCGCCUCUGCCGCAAGAACGAGAAGGCGCUCCGGCUCGGCAUCAAGGAGUCCAAGCCCCUCCCUAUAGAGAGGGAGGUUAGCGACACGAGAGGCGUGAUUCAGGACCAUGGUUCAGCUGAACCUAUGGUCUAUGCCGUAUGAUUUAACAUCCUACUACAUGUGAAUCUGUGACAUGCAUGUCAACUUCAUUUUUUAAUCAACCAUGCAUGGAUCUUUAUGAAUAGAUAUGCAUGUCAACUGUAUUUUUUAAUCAACCAUGCAUGGAUCCUCAUGAUUAGUGUCUAGAAACCAGUGGUGUCGAGCGUAGGUUCGGCUGAACCAUGGUUCCGUAAAAGAUUUUCGUUAGCGACACGAAAGCGAUCCGGCUUGCGAAGGAGAAGAGUCACAGCCGCCCGUCGACUCGCGGGCUUCUUCUCGUCCUCCUCCAACGACAGCGCAUGACGAGCACGGACGAUGAUGACGCCCCUCCAGCAACGGGCGCCUACGUUGAGGACAACUAUUACAGCUCCAGUGACCGCAAGGGCAAGGGCCCGGCGCAGAAAUGGUGAAGUCCGGCUACCUCCCUCCAUCUUAGCUAUUUCCCUAGUAACUAUCAUCAUGUGAUUAGAUCUUAGGCUUAGGUUAGAGGUCUGGGUAUGUGGCCCAGCUUGCACCCCUUCAUCAUUUGGAUAGGAGUAGCGGUAGAUGUUGUCAAGAUGGCGGAUUCAGGCAUAUUGUUGUUCUACUUUGUAAUGUCCUCGAGAAUAAUCAAUAAAAUGGCCGCAUGAUUCUCCCAGAUGCAGAGGCCGGGGGGUCAUCCUCCUUUUCCAAAUAAAACUAUCAUCAUGUGAUGAACUUUUGGGUCAGAAUGUACAAACUUAUGUCAAAUAUGUAUGGUUUCACUCGGAAAAAAAGUAUGGUUUGUGCUAUGCUUGGAUGUCAGAAUGUUGCUAUUUUGUGCUGUCCGUAUGUUCCAAUGUUGAUCUACGUACUUUGCAUCACGUUGCAUGGCUACUGUACAUUGUGUGUGUGUGUGUGGUUGNNNNNNNNNNNNNNNNNNNNNNNNNNNNNNNNNNNNNNNNNNNNNNNNNNNNNNNNNNNNNNNNNNNNNNNNNNNNNNNNNNNNNNNNNNNNNNNNNNNNNNNNNNNNNNNNNNNNNNNNNNNNNNNNNNNNNNNNNNNNNNNNNNNNNNNNNNNNNNNNNNNNNNNNNNNNNNNNNNNNNNNNNNNNNNNNNNNNNNNNNNNNNNNNNNNNNNNNNNNNNNNNNNNNNNNNNNNNNNNNNNNNNNNNNNNNNNNNNNNNNNNNNNNNNNNNNNNNNNNNNNNNNNNNNNNNNNNNNNNNNNNNNNNNNNNNNNNNNNNNNNNNNNNNNNNNNNNNNNNNNNNNNNNNNNNNNNNNNNNNNNNNNNNNNNNNNNNNNNNNNNNNNNNNNNNNNNNNNNNNNNNNNNNNNNNNNNNNNNNNNNNNNNNNNNNNNNNNNNNNNNNNNNNNNNNNNNNNNNNNNNNNNNNNNNNNNNNNNNNNNNNNNNNNNNNNNNNNNNNNNNNNNNNNNNNNNNNNNNNNNNNNNNNNNNNNNNNNNNNNNNNNNNNNNNNNNNNNNNNNNNNNNNNNNNNNNNNNNNNNNNNNNNNNNNNNNNNNNNNNNNNNNNNNNNNNNNNNNNNNNNNNNNNNNNNNNNNNNNNNNNNNNNNNNNNNNNNNNNNNNNNNNNNNNNNNNNNNNNNNNNNNNNNNNNNNNNNNNNNNNNNNNNNNNNGGGGUGAUAUGAGGUGAUAUGAGGGACACGGACGUUUGAGGGGUUACAUUUGACGUGUCCGGUUGUAGGUGCUCUAAGCGAGCAGAUUGGGUUAACGCUCUAUUGCCAAUGAAUAGUGCAAGUCAUUGCAUGGUACAAUUACGUAUGUUCUCUCGCGUGAUUUGUUUCCACACAGUUUAAAUUUUCAGCAGAAUAAGAAGCUAGUUGCGUUCUUACAGCUAACGGCAAAUUCACUGUUAAAUCUUUGUAUACAAAGUUGGUUUUGAACAACAUGUAUGUCCCACAUAAAAUUUCGUGGAAAGUGAUGAUUCCAGUGAAAAUCAAAGUGUUCCUCUAAUGAGGAGGAGCUAUAUAAUUACCGAAGAAAAUUUUCUUAAGAGAGGAUGGGAAGUGGAUAAAACUUGUGUCUUCCGAGACAGGAUGGAAACAUUGACCAUCAGUUCUUUUCUUGCUUGGUUGCUAAGCUUGAGAUUCGCAAAAAUGACGACUUUCGCUCCUGUGUUUUUGAUAAUUUGGAGAUGCAGAAACGAUGUUUGUUCUAACAAUAGGCGAAUUGAUGAUCCCUCCAUAUUGUUCCAUUUGAUCCGCCACCGCUUAAAUGGUUGGUCCAUUUUCCAGAAAAAGCCAAAAAAGCAACAGAGAAUGAUAUGGGUGAGUGAGUGUGGUGGGGGGAUAGGGGGAAAUGAGUAGGAAGUGAAAUCUUCAGAACUUCGCAUGGAUGAGCAACAUGAGUUCUUCAAUUCACCAGUGAGUGAUUCACGACGAGGAGAUGAUCAAGGUUGCUGCAUGCCCUGUCUCUAUUUGAUUUUUUUCUACGAGGAGCCUAUGCCUGCUAAGGUUUGCUCUCUUUUGUACUAAAGUUAUAGCCACAUAUGCCCUGAAUCAACAUUUAACUGCCCAAGGUCCUGCUGGUGGAAUGUGUUGUAGUAGUUCAGGCUUUCUCUUAAGAAGCUUGGGAUUUUCUCUUUGUGCUUUGAGCUUUGUCUAUUAGUUAUGUUGAAUGUAUGGAGCCGGCGGGGUUAGGUGACUGAAUUUACAAUUUUGACCAGUCACUUUUUUUACAAGAGGGCGCACGUACAUACUAGUCAGUGGCGAAAAACCUGAAUUCUUGUCAUGAGGUGCAUGCGUUGAAUGUACGUCUUGCUCGCCUCAGAGCAUAAGCUAGCUAGCACCGUGUUGAUCAAAUCCUGGAAACUACAUACAUGUGUUCGAGUUCAUAGAUAUAUCUUCUAUGUGUAAGUGUUGAUCGAUCAAUCAUAUGAAACUUAAUUACGGUACUAGGUUUGCGUAUAUAUAUGAAGUUAGAGUUCAAUUAGGGCUAGUUUGAUUCAUGCCGUGGGCACCAUGCCUGGGAAAAAAAUAGAGCCUGGGAGCAGCUUGGGAAUCUGCUAGUUUUUGCCUGGCCAGGCACCUAUGCAAAGAUGGUGUUUGGUUUCAGUAUUCGGCUUGAAGAAAUUGUUAUACGGUUGAGAUGUGACAGUACUUGACAAAGUGCAACUAAUCUAUUCAUUUGGUACAGGCAGUAGAGCCAGGCACACAAAAAGGGUUGCCUGAGCCAGGCUGAUCAGCCUGCCUGGGAUAAGUACUUUGUUUUAUUUGAUAUUUUUAUUUGAGCCAUGCUAAUCAUGCUGCCCAGAAAGAAAACGCCCUCACGUCGUCCCCGCUAGGGCAACUCGGGCAGCGCACAAACCCUAGCCACCGGGGCGCACACUCCCGCAUCCCUCCCUCCCUCGCCACCGGGGGACGCUGGCGGGCUACGCCCAGGGGCCGACGGUGGUGACGGGGGACUCCCUCUAUCCCAUGUCUCAGGGGUGGUGCGGGGCCCAUACAUGAGUGGAGGCGCAAUUGAUCCAGCAAGCAGCGGCGAUGGCGGCGGUGGCCGGCCCUACCUCGGGAGACGGUGGCUGCAGGCGCGUUGGGAAGCCCGGUCACGGGCGGCGGCGCACCAUUUGGCUUCGGAUCGGCGCUAGUGUGGAGGGCCUGGUGGACUGCUCGGCGGCAUAUCCGUUCAGAUCUGUUCUGGCCGGUGCUGCCGGCGGUGGUGGUCUUCUCCUCCGUCGGAGGUGGUCGGCAUGAGGCUGGGUGGUCGGAUUUCGAGAUCCGCCAUCUAGUCCCGGCUGUGAGUCGGAGAGAAAUAGUUGCCGAUGAAAAUCGAUCCGACGGCGGGCGAUGGUGGUGUUCUGUGUCGUUACCUUGAUGAAGGUAUCGUCGUGGAACUAUUGUCAACACAUUCGUGCUGCUCCGGGGGAAACCCUUGGAUCUUGUCUUCUAGAACGGAUGAUGGCGGCACUAUGGUGUCAUUUCUCUCUUGGCAGCAUAAUUUGUGGAGUAGCGCUGGAACACAGAGGCGGAAGGUGGAGCGGCUUCGUCUGGAACGGAGCUUCAGUGGAGAUGUCAAGUCAUGCCUGGCCGACAGACACUACACUAUUUUAUGCAUGUUCGGCGGGUGCUACACACGAUAGAUCUUCUAGAGUCUCCGCCUCUGGAUGGAAGAGCGCAGGGCGGUGGCGUUGUUGGGCGCCGUGGUGGCAUCGACUAAUGACCGGACCGGCAAGGAUGAUGCAGAUCUCUCUCCAGAAUAUGGGACAUCGGUUCGAUGAUGAUGGCGGCUUCUAAAAUGUGUGCACGUGGUGUACGCUUUAGGUCUGCUGCACUGGUUAUUGGUUCCGAUACGUUAUAUGGAUGGAUUGGCGACAACAUCGGUUAUAGAUCUGUUGAGUGAAAGCACUCCACAUUAUCAAGUUUGUAGGUGUGAGUGGUGUCUUCGGGUGGCUUGAUGUAUGUUUUUGUCAGACCUUCAUGAAAUAAUUAAUAAAGAUGACCAUAUCCAUCGAUUGAUGCAGAGGCCGGGGUUUAACCUCCUUUAAAAAAAUCAUGCAACCCAGAAAGGCCAGACCAGGCUACCACGUUUUCUUUCAGGGCACCAUCCAAACAACUAUCAGGCAAGUUUGAGGGAUGUGCCAGGCCAGGCGUCACUAGAUGUGAAAGUGAACCAAACUGGCCCUUAAUCUUUGCAUGCGGAUGAUGAGCAAAGGCGCAGGCAUGCCUAUAUUAUUAUAUUAUGUAUAGUUUCUAGAAAAAAUAAAAUAAAACUAAAAACCAAAAUAAUGAAGUUUCUACGUAAGAAUGAACUAGUGGCAUUCGUAUUAUCCUUUAAGAAGAAAGAAAGAGGUACCUAAUUUACGCAGAAAUUGUUUUUCUAAUAAUAUACAUGACCAAGCAUAUAAUAGUGAAUCUUUUUGCAAAAUGAAACUUCCUAAGAAUGAUUGAAUUAGUGGCAUUGGUAUUACUCUAAAAUAAGAAAUAAAAAACUAAAACUAAAUCAAAAUAAUAAGGUUUUCCAAGGAAGAAUUCAUUAGUGACAUUGGUAUUAUCCUUUAAGGAUAAAAAGACAAAAUUUGCACACAAUUUACUCAGAAACUGUGUUUUCUAUAAUAUACAAGAAUAAGCAUAUAAUAGCGAUAUUUUGCAAAACAGAAUUUUUGUAUGAAGGAAUUAAUUAGUGGCAUUCACGUUACCUUGAAAGAAGAAAUAAAUGAAAUGAAAAUAAAACUAAAUCAAAAUAAUGAAUUUUCUAAGAAAGAAUAAAUUUGUGGCAUUUGUAUUACCCUUUAAGAAGAAGAAAAUGAAAACAAAUAAUGACAAAAUUUGCACACAAUUGACACAUAAACUAAUUAAAUUUCUUAUAAUAUGCAAGAAUAAGCAUACAAUAGUAGAAUUUUCACAGGAAAAAAGAAGUUUCCUAUGAAGGAAUGAAUUAGUGGAAUUAGUGUUACCCUUAAAAAGUAAAGAAAAAUGAAAUAGAAACUGAAUUAAAUCAAAAUAAUAAAAAAUUAACCAAGAGUGAAGUAGUGGCAUUAGUAUUGCCAUUUAAGAAGAAAUAAAUAAAAAAAGUGACAAAAUUUGCACACAAUUUAUACAUAAACUGGGUUUAAAAAUAAUAUGAAAAAUAAGCAUUUGAUAGUGACAUCUUCACAAAAAGUAAGUUCCCUAAGAAGUAAUCAAUUAAUGGCAUUAGUAUUACCCCUAUGAUAAAAGAAAUGAAAUAAAAACUAAAAUAAUUUAAAAUCACAAUUUUUUUGUAAGAAGAAUGAACUAGUGACAUUGGUAUUACCCUUUAAGAAAAAAUAGAAUAAAAACGUAAAAAACGUUGAUAUAUUUUGCACACAAUUUACACAGAAAUUGUGUUUUGAAAUAAUAUACAAAAAUAAGCAGAUAAUAGUGAAAUUUAAGCAAAAUAUAAAUUUCCUUUUUAGCAAUGAAUUAGUGGAAUUGGUAUUACCCUUAAGAAUGAGUGAAAAUUAAAAAAAUUAACAAAAAUAUUUAAGAAAAGGUGAAUUAGUGACAUUGAUAUUACCCUUCAAGAAAGAAUGAAAAUGAAAAAAAUGCACACUACUUUGCACUGAAAUUGCGCUUUUUUUGUAAUAUGCAAAGAAUAAUCAUAUAACAGUGCAAUUUUGAAACUUUAGUGUAAUUUACACAGAUACUGCAUACAACUUGCGUGUAUAUAUGCACACUCACCCAACAUCCCAAAAAUACCAAUAUAAGAAAAAAGAAAACCCGACUAAAAAGAAAUGAGAAAACAUAAGUAAAAACACAUACAAACAGGAAAAAAAAGGCAAUGGGUAAUGGGCUUCAAGCCCGGUAGAUUAAUGUACUGACUGAUGUGGUAUUUCUUUAGUGAUUUUUUCAGCGGAUAGCCCUGGCUUGUCGUAUCCGUCUGAAUUUCAUAUUUCCAGAUGAGAAAAGAGGUAUAAAUAUCUUCAUAUACCAAACGUUGGCUAAUUAGUACUGCAUCCUCAAAAUUGUAACCUUCCCAUGGCAUAUAAGCUACUAAUAAAUACGUUUUUUCCAAACAGGGUAAGUCAAAAAUUCGGUCCAAGAAGCCUUGAAAUAGCGCGAAUCUUGACAAAAGAAUCAACAAACGAGAAAACCGGCUAACCAAAUUUAUAAAUCAGGCACCUUACAUAUAGCUAGCUGGAGUUAAAAGUGUGGAUGUAUGUCCGCUUUGUAGUAGAACCUGGGCUUCCUUAAUAGAAAUCGGAGAGUAUAUAUAGAUAGAUAAAAAAAAAGUUGAACUAUGGUCAUACGGCAAUGCUUUGCAACUUUACAAGUCGUUAAUUUAUGAUCAGGUUUGGGCCUGGACAAAGAAGACGAUGACCUUCACCGGGGUUUUGGGGUUGCGAGCAUGCGCAACACAUGGCGAUGGCGACGUCAACGGCGGAGACGCGGGCAUCGAUGCGAGAGGAAGUGGGAGAGGAUAAAGAUGUGGUGGCCAUUCGGGGUUUAGGUUUGGGCUUGGGCUUAGGGUUUAUGCGGUACGUUUAUAGCCACGCUCUCUCUAUAUAUAGCAGUACCUCUGCCAUUGACGGGCAGAUUGGCAAGCAACAGCAGCAAUGGCAAUGGCCGCCUCCGAUCAGCAACUACAGCAGGCCCGCAGCACCCGGCACGGCUUUGAGGAUGAGUCCCGGUGGGUGGAGCUGAUCCGGGAAUCCCUCCGGGAGGUUUCCGGGGAGGAGGACGACGACGGCAUCCCCGUGUCCGUGUUCGACGUGCCCAAGCAGCUGCUGGUGCACAAGCCCGAGGCCUACGCGCCGCAGUUCAUCGCGCUGGGCCCCUACCACCACUGGCACCCUCACCUGUACGACAUGGAGCGCUACAAGAUCGAAGCCGCCCGCCGCGCGCUCCGUGCGGCCGGCCGCAGCCUGGACGACCUCGUGCGCGAGCUCCGGCACCUCGAGGGCAAGGUCCGCGCUCACUACCACCGCUACCUCGACUUCCGCGACGGGACGCUCUCGCUCAUGAUGCUCGUGGACGGCGCUUUCCUGCUAGAGUUCCUCACCAUCCACCACCACCACGCCGCCGCCGCCGAGCCCGAGAGGCUCGCCGUCUCUAACUGGACGUCGAGGAUGGCACACCUCAUCGACCUGGGCGGGACCGGGCGGAAGUCCGCUCACAGCCUCAUCCUCCGUGACAUGCUCAUGCUCGAGAACCAGAUUCCGCUCUUCCUCCUCCGCGAGAUCCUCCAGGCGCAGUGCCACUCCCAGUCCGUCGACGAGUCCACCGCGCGGCUCACCUGCAUGGUGACGGGCCUCAUGAAGGAGCUCUGUCCGUUCAAGAUGGAGGGCAACUUCCCGGAGAAGCAGAUCGAGAGGGACAUCGCCAAGCACGCGCACCUGCUCGAGCUGCUGUACCACCUGCUCGUGCCCAGGCCCAAGCCCUCUGCGUCUGAGAACUCCGCCCCGGCGUGGUCUGGCCCCGUCGAGGAUGAUAUCGAGGAGCAGCGACCGGACGGCGAUGGCGGCCAAGAACAAGAAGGCGAAGGCCCUCCCGCCGGCACCGGCAACGAGUACGUGAUGCAACUGCUCGCCGUCAUUUUGAGCAUGGCGUCGAGGCUCAAGGGCGGCCGCCUGGGCCACGUGAUCGAGUUUGCGGCCAAGGCGCCGUGGAAGAUGCUCGCCGGCAUACCCGGCAUCUCAGGCUUGUCCAUGCACGCGGACGCAGACAUGAGCCAGGAGAUCGCGAUCCCAUCGGUGACCGAACUGGCCAGCAGCGGCGUUCGGUUUAAGCCGACCAACGGCAACCUGUCCACCAUCACCUUCAACCGCAAGACGGCGACGCUGCACCUCCCGGCGGUGACCCUCGACUGCAACACGGAGGUGGUGCUCCGGAACCUGGUCGCCUACGAGUCAUCCGCCGCGUCGGGCCCGCUGGUGUUCACCCGAUACACGGAGCUGAUGAACGGCAUCAUCGACACCGACGACGACGUCACGCAUCUCCGCAAGCGCGGCGUGGUGAUCAACCGCAUGAAGAAGAGCGACGGCGAGGCCGCCAAGCUGUGGAACGGCAUGAGCCGCUCAGUGCAGCACUCCAAGGUGCCGGACCUGGACGCGGUCAUCGACGACGUGAACCGCUACUACGGCCGGCGGUGGAGCGUCAAGGCGAAGCGGUUCAUGCGCAAGUACGUGCUCAGCUCAUGGAAGAUGCUCACCUUCCUCGCCACCAUCAGCAUGCUGCUGCUCACCACCUUGCAGGCCUUCUGCUCCGUCUACACGUGCUCUCGGUGGUUCACUGACGUCGUAGUCACGGUCACGCCGACGCCGGCAGAGUAGAUCGGUACAGGCGUGCGUUCCUUGACCACGCUAUAGUGAUCAUGCUGUUGGAUUNNNNNNNNNNNNNNNNNNNNNNNNNNNNNNNNNNNNNNNNNNNNNNNNNNNNNNNNNNNNNNNNNNNNNNNNNNNNNNNNNNNNNNNNNNNNNNNNNNNNNNNNNNNNNNNNNNNNNNNNNNNNNNNNNNNNNNNNNNNNNNNNNNNNNNNNNNNNNNNNNNNNNNNNNNNNNNNNNNNNNNNNNNNNNNNNNNNNNNNNNNNNNNNNNNNNNNNNNNNNNNNNNNNNNNNNNNNNNNNNNNNNNNNNNNNNNNNNNNNNNNNNNNNNNNNNNNNNNNNNNNNNNNNNNNNNNNNNNNNNNNNNNNNNNNNNNNNNNNNNNNNNNNNNNNNNNNNNNNNNNNNNNNNNNNNNNNNNNNNNNNNNNNNNNNNNNNNNNNNNNNNNGGUAGGAGUAGGAAUAAGUUUAUGGUCUGGUCUCUGGUCGUCGAUGGCGAGACGAUGAUGUUGCCUUUGACGUGGACUAAAUCAUAUCAUCGCCUCCUCUCCUUGUGUCACCGAGAGGCGGCGUGUAGAGGGUGGUGUGUCCUCAGAUCUGGUUCUAUGGAUCUGGUUUUGCUUGUGCAUGUCUGUCUCGGUGGCGUUGUUCUAUGGAACGGAAUUUUCCAUGUUGAGUCGGUGAAUUGCACGUGUGGCUUUUGGUUAUUGUGGUUGUUCAUUUUCAAUGUUGAGUGAAAAUGGAAAAUAAAGUCUUCGGCAAGUCAUUAUAGGAAAAAUGUUGCAUGCCUAGUAUCGGGUUUGCCGAGUGUGUGUCAUCGAGCAUUUGACAAGCAAGUUGUUUGUCGAGUGUACUGGUGGCAAAGCUUUAAAACAAGAACAGGCCCGAGUAGGGUAGCUUUUAUUCGAAAAUCACGUAUCACCAAUCAAUCUAUUCGCUAGAGCCGCUUUUGAAAAGGAGGUUGGAACUUCCGGCAUUUGUAUCAAUGUGAUGCACACUUCUAUUUUUAUUAAAGUUGAUGUAAAGCAGU
Molecule: long non-coding RNA, 74263 nt
Filed under: Triticum aestivum (bread wheat)
Lineage: Eukaryota; Viridiplantae; Streptophyta; Magnoliopsida; Poales; Poaceae
Description: long non-coding RNA (TAES_LNC006086)
Rfam family: MIR1120/MIR1122 microRNA precursor family (bases 14421-14507)
Source: RNAcentral